GAAAAAUUGCCAAAUAUCCAAGAAAUGAAUAAAUCUCAGCAAGAGAAAUAAAUGAUCAACAAAAUAAUUCAUCGCAUGCUUUUCAUUUAAAACAAAGGUCCACUCACAAACUAGGCCUAAGCCUGAUGACGCUCCGAGCUUCCUCUGCUCGGGCCUCCUCUCGUUCUGUUCCAAAUAUAUAAUUAAUUUCGCACUAAAAAUCCAAUAAUUAAACACAAUGGGCAAAAUUAAACGUGAGCCUCCCACACACUCAUCAUUGCCCAAAUUCGCCAUUCCUAACCCAAUAUGGCUCAAACUUCACCCCAACAGACCGGCAGCCCUAAAUCAACCUUCCACAGAUUAAUGGCUUAAUUCCCUCGGCCGGAUUCUACAUUAAUUAACCGUCAAAAAUACCACACUUCAGAAAUUCAUAAACCUAUCCAAAACUCAUCCAAAAAUUCCAUAACUCACUUCAAUAAACUCCCCUUAAUAUUCCAAAUUUAAAAACAUUAAAAUCUCCCAAACAGCUCCGGCGCCCGCGCCGGCCGGAGGCCGAUUCCGACGACCUCCAAUUCCUAUGAAAUUUUGACAGAAUAAUCCUCUCAUCAUGCUCUACAACUUUCCUAACUAGCACAAACCCAAAAUCCAAGCCUAACAAUGCCAAUCGAACGAAAACAACACAAAAAGCCCUAGAGCUUCCACUCACCGGUUCUCCUCACCUGAAGCAAACUGGACCGAGUCCUUCUAGGGCAAGGCAACUGGGUUAGAGACCUACAAAACCGUACCAAGCUUGCCCAGAUUGGUGGCCGGAGGAGGGAGUUCCGGCGAUGGAGGACUUUGGACAGUCGCGGGUUCUAGGCAGGAGAACUCCUUCCCGGCGGCGCUAGGGCGGCUAUCACUGGUCCAGAGAUGUAAUUGGGUCAGAGGCCAACAGUUUGGGACCGGAGCGGCGGCGAACGAUGGCCGGACGGCGGCGGGAGGACGGCCGAUAAACCGGGCAGCGGGAGAGGCUUGGGGAGGGGAAAUCGGGAGAGAAAAAGAGAAGGGAGAAGAGAAAGAGAGGAAAAUUGGGUUGGGCUUCUCCAACCGGUCCAACACCACCAUUAUACCCAACUCCCAAAAAAAAUAAAACACCCCGAAAAAUAAUACCUUAAAAAAAAUUACCUUUUACUAGCUAAAAUUUACCAUUUUUAUUAGUUGUCAUAUUUUUCUCCCACGAAUAAUUCUUCUGAGAUAAUCGUCCCUCUAACACCUCUAGGGCCAAUUAAAUUAUAACCUUAAUGACAGAGACGGUAAAAUUCUUAUUAUAAUCAUGCUAGUAAAUAAGGUAAAAAUUUAAUGGUCGGGAUGUGACAGCAGCCUUUUGUGGUUCCUCCUCUUCUACGGCCUCUGCUUCGUCAAUGUAUUUAAAAUUUGCCACCUAUAGCACAUGAUGCAGUUUUAUUUAGUUUAACGGAAAAUAAGUGCAACAAAAGAAAACAAACCAGGAAACAGAGGGAGUGAAAUAAGAUAUCAUAUGGAACAUGUUGUCAACAAGUCAACGAUGUUUUCAUUGAAUAUAUAAAACCAAGGAACUGCCAAAUGUUGCAACCCUUGAUUACUAAACACGGUGGAAGUAGAACGGCAGACUAAGUUUAUGAUUUCUACAGACAGAAACUCCAGACACCAACAAUACCCAGAUGAAUAUCUCUUUCCUCUACAUAAAGGUAAAGCUAAUUCAUCAGAAAGCUAUUAUCACAGGUAGGUUUCUUAUAUUUACCUUCACAUAUAUACUCAUACAAAACCACUUGAGGCAUAUUUUCUUAGAAUGAUAGAUACGAAUUAAUGACUACAUUUUCUAUCUCUUCAAACUUUGAUACGUGUUUGACUAACAAAAUUUAUUAGGAUACAACACAUCUAUGUAUAUAAGGAAGAAAAUCAUGAUAAAAUGCACAAAGAAGGGAAAGAAUCAAGAGUAUUACUGCAUCGAAAGUGCUUGACACAGAAAACGAAGAUUCACAACUCCAACUCUUCAAAAUUCUGUUUCUAAUCAUCAAAUUUCAUCAAAAGAGAGAACAAAUCCGAAGCAUCGUGCACCAAUUUGUGUGUUAAAUGAACCAAAACGAGUCCGUUUUACACAGAUGAACUGGAAAUUCCAAAACGAUUACCAAAACAAACAUCGAGUUUAUAGCGAUCGUUGAUGAUUACCUGAAGAAGCGAGUCCUGCUCGAUGAUCUCCCCAAAAAGUUUAAGAGCCUGAUUCGUUUAAAAAGAAAACCAGAUGGAAAAAAAUUGAGGCGAAAUGAAGAAAUAAAGGCGAACACUCAAUUUGAGCUUGUCGUCAGAGAUCAAGAAGUGCUCAGAGUAGACCUCUCUAGAAAUCGAAUCAUACCUGAAUGGAGCUUGAAGAUCCUGAUGUUGGUGGAGGAGCUGAAUGACAGAUCCACGGCUCCCACCAUUGUCCCGGCCGCCAUGUACGGCCCGUCCGGCGCGACCGCCAUCGACGCAGAUUUGUUCACCCCUUUUAUACACGCCAUGGCUCAAAAGAUUGUGCCAAUCUUGGAAUCAAUCUAUAUAGAGAUGGCCGGAGAGUAUAUAGGGUUGAUGGGAUUGGGAAUUUGGAAUUUCUGGGGUUUGAAAAAGACGGCCGGAGAGAGAGAGAGGUCUGAAGAAGACGGAGACGGGAGAGUGAGAGGAGAGAUUGGGGGGUGAGGGUAUUAUGGUCAGCAAAAAUAGGUCAAUUGCUGAAAAUUUGGUUAGUGGGAAAACACUCUUAGAGUAUAUAGGGUUGAUGGAAAUUUUAGAUUCUUGUUUUGUUUGUGGGAAAAAAAAUCCUCAAAAUUAGGGUGGUGUUCUAAGAUAUUCUGUAUGUUUCUAGAUAUUCUUUAUGUGUGCCUUGGCCUUAUGCCAAUAGGAUAUGUAGUUAGACUAGAUCUAUGUAUUCAUAUCCUUACCAUAUUGGUAUUGUGUAAUUCUUUAUAUAAAUGGCUCAUAUCAAUGAAUAAGAUGAUGAUACUCUUGCUAUCUCUUUGUCUAUACACUUUAUACUUCAUCACGUUAUCAUGCACUUUGUUCUAACCUUAUAACUAAUAGCCCACCAUUUUUUUUCCAAACCCUAAAAACCAAAACCGGAGGUUCUCGGCCCUGCCUCGGCCGCCGCCACCGCCGCAGUCGCUUCCCGGCCGUCCACUACGCUGCUUUCUUUUCAUCCGAUCAAGCAUCUAAGUGUUUACAGCACCAAAAAUCCCGGAAUUUUAUUCGUGGAUCAAGAGUGUGUUGGAUCACUCUUGUUUCCUUGUCCGGGUUGUGUAUGAUCAACCCCGACCUAUCACCNNNNNNNNNNNNNNNNNNNNGGUUCUCGGCCCUGCCUCGGCCGCCGCCACCGCCGCAGUCGCUUCCCGGCCGUCCACUACGCUGCUUUCUUUUCAUCCGAUCAAGCAUCUAAGUGUUUACAGCACCAAAAAUCCCGGAAUUUUAUUCGUGGAUCAAGAGUGUGUUGGAUCACUCUUGUUUCCUUGUCCGGGUUGUGUAUGAUCACCCCCGACCUAUCACCGGAUUGUGUUUGAUCAAUCCGAGGCCUUUUCUGAAUUGUGUUUGAUCAAUUCGCGGUUUUCCGAAUUGUGUAUGAUCAAUCCGAAGGACAAACCAUUAAAAGCAUUGUUUGUGACCUUUAUCGAGUCUCAUAACAGCUUCGUUUUGUAUGCAAGAGCAAUGUAACAUUCUGCUCCUUUGAGUUUUGACGUACUCGAUGCCUAAGGCGAAUCUUCGCUUGGUAUAUGUGGAACCUUUCAUUGGAAAGGAUUAAACCACAUGUUUUGACCCCCAGACUAACAAGCCUAGAUGCCGAGAUUUCACAUCUCAUGCGCUCAAAGUCUUUGAUGCGCCACAUGACAAAAGCCUUCAAUGGCAUCUGUGCAAAAAGUAAUGACCACAAAGUACUGUGGAAUGCACUCAUGGAGCAUUUCUCGAAACGUUCAUAUAACUCUACUUGUUGAGUUAUUAGUCAAGUGGAUUACUUACCACCUUAAUUGACUACAUAUUGUCGAUGAUCUUUUGUGGCAUCAUGAUCCAUAAUCUUUAGUCGAUUCGAUCAUCAUCAAGUUCUCUCUAAGUUGGUUUGGAAUUACCAACGAAACUUGAUUUUGAUCAUACAAACGGGAAUUGUAUAUACGCUAAUGUGAUAAACUUAUUUAGGAUUAUCCCCUAAUGUGGGGACAACAAUAUGGGUCAUAGCAAUGGCAGAAAACGUCGUGCGAUGUCUAGAAAAGGGGGGGAUGUGUUGCCGGCUCUAAUAGCGACACUCCCAGUCUAGACACCAUUUUGUCAAAACUACUCACAUCAGCUCAUGACAAUGCAACCGUUGUGGAUCUUCGGAUCACUGGUUCAAGAUUGUCCAGCUUCUUCAAAUUAUGAAUGCAUACAAAAAGGUACGGAAAAUCAAUAUGAGGUCAAGGACGUCAUCCUCAUGAUCGCGAAUUUUGAAGAUUCAGAUCCUACUCUAGCUACCCCUGACUUUGACGUCAUCGGCGAGACAUUGAUUUUCGUUUCAAGCUAUAUGUACUAAGGCGUUGUAUCGAUGUUCUUCGUCUAUUUGUGACCUCGAUGUACUCACAUUGGCAAUAAUGAAUGCCUUGAGAAUUUUUUCGAAGUUAUGAAACUAUUCUCCUCUUAUGGUUCGUAUUGAUUUACAAACAAGAUAUACAUUUUUACAUCGUCCUUAGAAGCAUGGCAUAUUUACAAUCUACAUGGUUAGAUUGUGCCGUUUUGGUCUCUUCCAAGUGAAGAUGACGCACGGCCUUGCAUCCUCAAGAAGGAUCGCUAACGUGUUUCCGGUUAAGUCUUCUACCCUUUAGCGGAUUUUUCAUCAUCAAUUGUUCAACUAGGCUCAUCCAAACUCAGUGUGAUGUCUUAGAAUUGUCCGAAAUUAAGGAGAUAGUGGUUUCAAGUGUGCCUCGCACUACCGACCCUCCACGGACAUGCCUGGUCAUACUGACUUGGAGUUACCAAAAGCUUUUGAUUUUGGAUCCCCCUACGCUAUUAAACCAAUUGCCGUCUUGAAAAAGACGUUGAAGACUUAUCAAAACCUGAAAAUUAUCAUCAUGAUCGAAUCCUCUAGGUCCUCUGAGUUAGUUUAUGUUCAUGUCAGGGAGCUUUCGCUAAGUAGUCAUGGAGUUUACUACCUUAGAACGACCGAAAGGACUUGAUUUUGAUCAUACACAUGUCACUUUUGGCUAAGGCAAAAGCCUACACGCCACCUGCAAGUUUCACAGCUUCGCACAUGCCAAUUCUGCGAAAAACAGAAAUCUGUCCCUUCUGUCAACUUCGUUUGAGCUUUGUGAACAGCUCCGGACGAACCAGACAGUGAGCUUUAUAUCAUUGGAAAGCUCUACGAGUCUAUUUUUCAGAACUUUUCGCGGUUCGUCGAUAUCUAUUUUAACGAAGAAGUUAUGGCUGUUUUAGUACGCAAAGGUCAUUCUGCGCGAAAAUUUUUAUGCACUCUCGGGAUUGCAGCUUUUCGUAGCUUCUUUCAAUCCUUCUAAAUGGUUCAAGUGGAACUAUUAACUUGCCUAUCUACUCCUUGUAGAUAUGUCUUAUCUAGACAUGGAGUGCUUCGCAGAUAGUGGAACUAUCCACAACAUUCUAAGGAUCCGGCAACUAUCUUUGGAUUUUGUGCCUUUGUAAAUCUUCUAUGACUACAAUGAUUGAAUCAUACCAGUCAUUCAAGGACGUGGUUUAGCUUAAAUCUUGAUGCCUCAUGGCACCAUGAUCAAUGUCACAGAUACCCUCUAUGCAUUGAGAGGCAAUCGAACCAUAUUGAGCUUUAAAGACAUUCCUGCUAAUAGUUUUCAUUUGAAAACACAUUGUGAGAAUGAACAAGAAUUCUUUUGUGUAUACCAUGAUCAAUGUCACAGAUACCCUCUAUGCAUUGAGAGGCAAUCGAACCAUAUUGAGCUUUAAAGACAUUCCUGCUAAUAGNNNNNNNNNNNNNNNNNNNNNNNNNNNNNNNNNNNNNNNNNNNNNNNNNNNNNNNNNNNNNNNNNNNNNNNNNNNNNNNNNNNNNNNNNNNNNNNNNNNNNNNNNNNNNNNNNNNNNNNNNNNNNNNNNNNNNNNNNNNNNNNNNNNNNNNNNNNNNNNNNNNNNNNNNNNNNNNNNNNNNNNNNNNNNNNNNNNNNNNNNNNNNNNNNNNNNNNNNNNNNNNNNNNNNNNNNNNNNNNNNNNNNNNNNNNNNNNNNNNNNNNNNNNNNNNNNNNNNNNNNNNNNNNNNNNNNNNNNNNNNNNNNNNNNNNNNNNNNNNNNNNNNNNNNNNNNNNNNNNNNNNNNNNNNNNNNNNNNNNNNNNNNNNNNNNNNNNNNNNNNNNNNNNNNNNNNNNNNNNNNNNNNNNNNNNNNNNNNNNNNNNNNNNNNNNNNNNNNNNNNNNNNNNNNNNNNNNNNNNNNNNNNNNNNNNNNNNNNNNNNNNNNNNNNNNNNNNNNNNNNNNNNNNNNNNNNNNNNNNNNNNNNNNNNNNNNNNNNNNNNNNNNNNNNNNNNNNNNNNNNNNNNNNNNNNNNNNNNNNNAUAGUAUUUGUAGUACGUUAGUAUGUAUAUAUAUAUAUAUAUAUAUAUAUAUGUGUUGAUCGAUUUGGUUGAUGAUUUGAUAAUAUAUAUGAAGUUGUUGUUAAUAAGUAGUAGAUAUAUAUAUAUAUAUGUUAAUUAAUUUAUAAUAUUGUGUUGAUGGUAUGAAGUUGUUGAUGAUGAUUUUGUGAUGAUGUUGAUAGAUAUAAUAUUGGUAUGUAAUUAUUAAUUAAGUAUAUCUAUAUAUAUGUGUGUUAAUUAAUUUGUUAUCAAUUAGUUGUAGUACGUAGAAUAUAUAUAAAUGAAUUGAGAUUUUAUAUAUAUAUGGCAUAGAAUUUAAUUAAGAAUUAACUAGCGUUAUACAUAUAUAUUUUGUUAUAUUUUCAAGAUAUGGAUAAGAGUUGGAUUUCGCUUCCAAAAUGGGACAAAAGAUAUGGUAAAGGAAUUAUGAGUUUUCUGGAAUAUGCGCUGGCUAAUGCUAACGGGAAUACAAUUUUCUAUUGCCCGUGCACGAAAUGUCAGUGUCGCGAUGAAAUGCAUCGAUUUGCGAUUGACAAAGUAUGGCAGCACCUGAAGAGUAACGGGUUUUGGGAGAAGUACACAUGUUGGUUAUAUCACGGUGAAACAUCAUCAGGGGGUCCGCAUGAUCAUGGCCAAUUUUCUGAGACGGGCAGUACAUCCAACGAUCCAACAACGGCCUUCAUCAACGACAUGUUUCCUUAUGAGAGUGGUGUAUGCACUCAAGGACAGUAUAUGUCUGACCCGGUGCAGCCCUUCCCUAGAGCUGUCAACACUGCUGGUAUUAACAAGUACAACAAACUGCUUGCUUUCCAAUAGACCCCUGUGUACCCCGGUUGUCAGAAGACCGUUGUUGAAAGUGUGAUGGACGUAAUGAAGAUUAAAGUUGAGACAAAAUCGACUGUGAAAGCUGUUGAUGAUUAUCUACAGUACACUGCUUCGAUGCUGCCCCACGGUCAUCGUCUUCCUACCACUCAUCAUAAGGUUCAAUGUAUCCUGAAAGAUCUUGGGCUUUCCUACAUCAAGAUCCAUGCAUGCAGAUAUAACUGCGUUCUCUUCUGGGGUAAAGAUCUAGAAGGGAAUGACCUUAGUGGCCUUGACGCAUGUUCGGUAUGUCACACUGACAGGUAUAAGCUGACUCCUGCAGGCAACUGGAAACCUGUGAAGGUACUUCGGUAUUUUCCUUUGAGGGAUAGGCUGGAGCGGUUGUACAUGUCUUCACACACGGCCGAAGCUAUGAGAUGGCACGCUGAUAGGGAAUUGCAUGACGAAGAUACCCUUAUACACCCUGCUGACGGGGAGGCUUGGAAGCAUAUAGACAGGGAGUUUCCUCAUUUUGCGUCAGAGGUCCGAAAUGUGAGGCUCAGGCUCUCAUCCGAUGGGUUCAACCCUUUUGGCAACAUGAGUCUUCAAUACAGUGUAUGGCCGAUGAUUUUGGUACUAUACAACCUUCCUCCAUGGAUGUGCAUGAAGAAGAAAUACAAUAUGUUGAGUUUGUUGAUUCCGGGGCCCGGUUAUCCAGGGAAGUGUCUCGAUGUGUAUUUGAGACAUUUGAUUGAAGAGCUUAAAUUUUUGUGGGACGUUGGUCAUCCCACAUAUGACAAGUACAUGCACAAGAUGUUCCAGAUGCAUGUCAUGGUUGUUGGUACCAUCAGUGAUUUUCCUGCCCGUGGGAUGUUGUCGGGCAACGUUGUUAGGGGAUACAAGGCUUGUCCAGAGUGCCAUAGCGAUGAGGGGAGCAACAGUCAUUGCAACAAGAUAUGCAAAUUGGGUCACCGUACUCUCCUUCCAUAUGAUCACGAAUGGCGGCUCGAUGCACAGGCAUUUGAAUGGACCCUAGAAAACGGUGUGCCUCCCAGAAGAUGGACGGGGGAAGAAAGUUUAGCAGUGCUUAAUGAGUACGAUUUUGGGCAACUCAGCAAUCAUCCCAAUAUUGUGGCGGCAAUACCUGAAAGACCCGACAGGUACAAAUUAUGGACACAUGAGAGCAUAUUCUGGAAACUCCCAUACUAGAGUAAGUUGUUGAUCAAGCACUACCUAGAUGUGAUGCACAUAAAAAAGAAUAUUUGCGACAGUGUGGUGGACACAGUGCUGAACUUGGAGGGGAAGACGAAAGACGGUCCUAAGGCACGCAUUGAUCUAAAAAAAAUGCAAUUAAGAAGACAUCUAUGGUUGAAAGAAGGGAAGAAAAAAAUGCCUCAAGCUCCUUACACCGUGAAGCCUGACCAGAAGAACCUAAUUUUCAGGUGGAUGAGUUGUGUGAAGUAUCCUUCAGGCUAUGCAGGAAAUAUAGCCCGGUGUGUGAACUUCCGGGACAAUAAGAUAUACGGGUUGAAGAGUCAUGACUGUCAUAUCCUGCUACAACGUCUCUUCCCUGUUUUCAUUCGACCGUUCCUUCCCCGUCAGGUGUUUAUGUUUAUUGCAUAAUUAUCCAUAUUUACAGUUGAAUGGUUGGUUGCAGAUGAACCAUAUUCAAUUUGAUGGUCACCCAAAUUGGUUGCACGAACUAAGACUUCUAGCGAUGAAGCCGAUAAUGUCAAGAAUUUAUCCGAUGUGCAAGGUGAAUGGCGUGCAAUUUAUAUGCGAACAGAGAGACAGCAGACGGAGAACACAGAAUUCUGCGGUCAUGGCACAUGGUUGGCGGAAUGAAGUUGACUAUUACGGUGUUCUCCAUUCAGUGGUGGAACUCGUUUAUGGGCAAGGCAUGACAGUGCACCUCUUCAAGUGUAGAUGGUUUGAUACUAGGCCGCAGAGCAUGAAGACCGAUCAGUACGGAAUAUUAUCGGUGAACACUGCUACAAGUUCUUACGAAGAUGACCCGUUCGUUUUUGCCACAUCGGUAAAACAAGUGUUUUAUCUUGAUGACCUUGCUAAGGGUGACGCGUGGAAAGUAGUCAUCCUUGUGCACCCUCGAAACAUUUACUGGGCGGCUACACUUGAAGAGGCCGAAGACGAGGAAGAAGAUGUUGUGUAUCAAGAGCCCAACGCAAUAGGUAUUCCUAAUUCCUCUACCGUUCGCCUUAAUAAUUUUAAAGCGGGUCGUUCGGUGCGAAUUCGUGAUGAAGAGCCAAGGCUUAUUGAUGUUGAUCCAAAUCAAGAAACAGACGAAGACUCUGGCGAUGAGGAAAGACAUAUAUUACCAGAAAUUAAUUCUGACACCGAAGAAGACUCAUCGGAUGAUUCCGAUUACGAGCCUUAGUUUUAAUUUAGAGGACGUAAUCCAUUAAUUUGUAUAACUAAAGACCUUUUCCUUUAUAGUUUACAUAUGUUGAAUUCAUAUUUCAGUUAUUUUAUAUGAAUUUUGGUGAUAUAUGAUGAACAGGAAGUUAGUAUGGUUUACUAAUACCUUCUGUUUUUUUAAUGUAUUUUUUCCUUUAGCCGACAAAAUACACCAUAAUUCGUCGGCUAAAACUAUCUUAGCUGACGAAUUAUAGUNNNNNNNNNNNNNNNNNNNNNNNNNNNNNNNNNNNNNNNNNNNNNNNNNNNNNNNNNNNNNNNNNNNNNNNNNNNNNNNNNNNNNNNNNNNNNNNNNNNNNNNNNNNNNNNNNNNNNNNNNNNNNNNNNNNNNNNNNNNNNNNNNNNNNNNNNNNNNNNNNNNNNNNNNNNNNNNNNNNNNNNNNNNNNNNNNNNNNNNNNNNNNNNNNNNNNNNNNNNNNNNNNNNNNNNNNNNNNNNNNNNNNNNNNNNNNNNNNNNNNNNNNNNNNNNNNNNNNNNNNNNNNNNNNNNNNNNNNNNNNNNNNNNNNNNNNNNNNNNNNNNNNNNNNNNNNNNNNNNNNNNNNNNNNNNNNNNNNNNNNNNNNNNNNNNNNNNNNNNNNNNNNNNNNNNNNNNNNNNNNNNNNNNNNNNNNNNNNNNNNNNNNNNNNNNNNNNNNNNNNNNNNNNNNNNNNNNNNNNNNNNNNNNNNNNNNNNUUUUUUAAGUCAUAUGCUUUGUUGAUAAUGAACUUGAAGCUUGCAUUCCAUGAUUAGGUACUGCAUUCAUCGUGGGCUGGGUAUGAAUUUUUAAACAUAAGAUACAAAAUACAAAAUAGAAAAACCUAUAUCAAAUCCGGAUGAAUAUAUAUAUAUAUAUAUAUUUUUUUAAUUGAAUUCAUAUUUUUGAAUAAGUAUAAUUUUAAAAAUAUAUAUAUUUCACAUUAUAUUAAGUGUUUAAAUUUAAGCAUGAACAUAAUGAAAAAAUAUGGUUUCAAAAAUAUUUUUUAUAGAAUAAAGACAAAAUAAUCUAGAGCCUUAGAUUUGAGAAGGAUAAGAUUGAAUUUUUACUUUUUCAAUGUUGCCUCAGCUUUGAAUUAACGAGCAACAUUGAAUGAGUGUAUCCGCCCAUACCUCAACCUUGAUUCAAAUUAAUAUUUUAAAUAGGAUGAGCGGCUAUUUUAGAUCAAAGAAGAGUUCGAAGGGCCAAAGGUACGAAUCUUCUGAGGGAACCUCUAGCAACCCUCAAACGUCGUUUUAGGGCCAGAUGACAGCCAGACGUGCGAGCCUUCUGGAGACGGCGCAGAGACAGCCGGAGGUGCCCCUUUCAUCGAGGCAGGCCGGCGUCCCUCGUUCCUCGAGGCAGCUGUGGCCUCAGACCCAAACGGAGGUGUCUGCACCCCGUAUGCCUGAGAUACACCGGGCGCCCACUCCGGGUCCUACUUCUUCAGAUAGUGAGUCAUCUGGGGUACAGAUGCCACCGCCUCAUCUGUUCCUUCCGCAGAUGAUACCGGCCUUACCUAUAGUCGAUGGCUCAGGGACGCUGAUUUAUCCACUGCCCCCGCCAGUGGCUCCAUCAGCGGCGUACCGGUUCGUGCCUUUUGAUACGCCUCUUAUUUCCGCGAGGAUAUCAUCAUCAGCGACAGAGACGGAAUCCGUCGCGUCCGCCGCGAGCGCCUCAGGUAAUCAGUGAUGAAUGAUUUGUUUUCUUAUAAUUAAUAAUAAAGGGCCUCCAAUUUUAAUAAUCAAUUUGGUUUAUCAUGUGAUAGGCACCGUCGGAGCGAAGCCGACAAAGAAGAAGAGAGGCCCCGUCACAAGGAAGGCUCUCGAGAAAAUCGUGGGUACCGUGGGGAGGAUCGUCAUCAAUACUGACGGGGAUGGCCACAUAGUAUCGGGCGGGAAGUCGAGGACGUACCCCGGCCGCGUGAGAGCGCUCAUUAGGGAUAGAGUCCCUAUGUUGUGGUCAGACCGGGGCGAGGUCCCGCAGGAGGUUAAGGACAUGGUCCACAACGCGAUGUCGGUGAGUUUACAAAAUAAUAUUAUGUAUUACAUUGUUGAUUUCUCGAAAAACUAAACUAAUAAACGGUUAAAUACAGGUGUGGUUUGAGGUUCCCGAGCACCUGAAGGACAGCUGGGCGGACGUUGCGCAUGGGGGAAGGUACGUUGGGAAGUUAAUGAAAAACAAAAUUGUAUGUGAUAUUAAUAAUAUUUCUAAUAUUUUUGUUGUAUCUGUAGGUACAAGGAGUGGAAGAACGAGUUGCGGACCCACUAGACUACGCACGGGAACGCACGUUUUGGUACCCCUGCUGAGUUCCAGUAUAGGGAGUACGAGUGGCGUUGGCUUCUGACAUCAGAAUUCAACAACCCUCGUAAACAGGUAUUUAAAAAAUUAAUUAGUUAAUUUGUCAUUAAGUACGUCCGUUUUUAAAUAUUUUACUAAUAAUUUAUUUUUUUCUUUGAAGGCCGUUUCCUGAGCGAACUCUCAGAACCGGCAACGCAACACAAGGAACCAUCAUGGCGGUUCUAGACCGUUCGCUGUCUUCAUGGACGAGGCGGCCAAGGAACAUCCAGAAGUCAACCGGUAAGUCUAUACGUACGAGAAGGCAUAUCUUGACGCCUAGGAGAAUAUUGUAAGUCAUUUUACGUUUUUAGAUUUUUAAAUUUACUUAUAUAUAUGUCAAAAUGUUAAUUAAUAAUUUUUUUCUUAUCCAUAUAGGCGAAGGUGAGGGAGGCUAGUGACGAGGUGAUGAGUGCUAUAGUGAGGGAGACAUGGCCGGACACACAAGAGGAAGAGAUGUCCGAAGCCAUGUCCCGGAUCGACACUUCGGAUCCGACGAUUAGGGCGAGGAUCAUGGGCACAUCCUUCCCACCGAGAACAAACAACUUCUACUGCCGGGGUCUAGGAAAGAAGGGCGAGGGGGUCCUGAAGACCACUCCAGGAUUUCAACGAAAGGCAGCCUCGACCAGCAGCAGGACCACGUCCACGACCACCAGGAUGACUCAGCUAGAGUCGGAAGUUCAGAGACUACGGGAACAGCAAGCUGCUCAGGCUGCCUAUAAUGCCGCGCAGGCAGCCUAUGUUGCCGAGAUACAUGCCAUCCAGCAGGCCCAGCAGCAGCAAAUGUUCCAGUACAUGCAGGACUUUACAGCUGCCCAGCUUCAGGGACUUCCGGCUCCACCCAUGCCUACGGCUAUACCGCUACCCCAGCCGCCGCAACCUCCGCAGCAACCCCCAGAAGCGGAUAUUAAUUUAGAUGAUUUAGAUUUUGUGUAGUUGAUGAAUUAUAUAGUUUUAUGUGCUUGUUGUUGGUUAUAUGGAAUUGUUUAGGUGUAUUUUGCAGCUUGCUUGGAAUGGUAAUUUAGAAAUUUCGGGGUUUUUUUUUUUACUGGAAUGGACUUAUAGCCGACGAAAAACGCCUUAAUUUAUCGGCUAUAGUAUUUUUUUUUUAAAAUAAGUUUAGCCGACGAAAUACGCUUUAAUUCGUCGGCUAACCCUAUAAGCGACGAAUAGACUAUAUUUCGUCGGCUUUAGUUAUUUUAAUUUUUUUAUUACAUAUUUUAGCCGACAAAUAUAUUAAAUGUUUCGUCGGCUAAAGUCUGAGAAAAAACCGACGACAUUUUUUUCGUCGGCUAAACUCUAGGACUAUAGCCGACGAAUAUAUUAAAUGUUUCGUCGGCUAAAGUCUGGGAAGAUAACCGACGACAUGUUUUUCGUCGGCUAAACUCUGGGACUAUAGCCGACGACAUCUUCAUGUGUCGUCGGCUAAAGUCACCACAGACGACCUUUUCCCGACGAAAUCUUAGUCGACGAGCUUUCACCGGCUAAGAUCUUAGCCGACGAAUUAAGCUAACAGACCGAUGAAAAUUUUUCGUCGGCUAAAGUGCUUGUCCUGGUAGUGAAUUGAGGUGCAUCGGCCUUCCCUCGAUGUCGCAUUGGCCCCCUGCAAUGCUCAUUGUUCGUUUUGAAAGCCUAUUCUUUAGCUAAAUUAGGAGUGAGACCUUCCUACGCUAAAUAACACAAAAGUGAACAUUCUAUUUUUACAUCAAACUAUGUAGAUAGAUACAACCAACUUGCGGACACCUUUUUAUGCUUUAUGGUGUUGGUUGAAGUGUUAACACACUGGUCACGUGUUUCAUUAUUAUCUACUGUUUAUGCUGCUUAUACUUCUACGGGCUCACUACCCAUUAUUUAAAGAAGUUUAUCAGGAUGUAAGUUGAAGUGUCUUGUACCCCAUGUUCACAUGCAAUACGGUCUCACCGAGGCUACGACCAAGCAACUUUAGCUUGUUGCUCGAAUAUUAUUAAUGCGCACCAAUCUUUCUAUUGCGUCUUGGGGCUAUGCAAUAUUUGCAUGCAGCUUUACUAUUCAUCUACGACCCACCAUCAUUGAAUAUUGUUGUACUAAAGCUCGUGACUGUGUACCAGGAUUGACACGAAAUUGCAAUCUUUGAGCUCGAAAGAAUUGAAACGGAUCUCCAAUCCUUGAGCUUAGCUAGAUAUUUAUUCUAGCUGCCAAAUCGCACUGCCACUGCGCACAAUGAUGGGCCAUUUGAGAUGAACAAGUAUUUAGGUUGGAUGUGAACCUCCACUUAUAAUCCGCAUAUGUAGAAACCUUGUCAGACGAUUUCUUUCACCGCUAUAUUGCGGAUAGUCACUUUGAUGAGACAAUAUUCCCGCCAUUAAGGGGAGAUAAGAACACAAGUGUUCAAGUGGAACGACGUGAAUUGUCGUGGUUUGUCCCCACUAAGUCUCAUCUUGAUCCCAAAUGCUUAAAGUGUUAAUGUGACGAGAUCACAUGCUGCAAAUAUGUCUGUAAGGAUUGAUAUCUUAUCAAGAAGACAUGGCGCGACCAAAAGGAGUUGGUCUUGACGCCAUCAACAUAGAUGGUGAUAUGGUGACGUCAUAUAGUGGCAAAAUUGGUGUCACAAGGCCGUGUGGCUCCCCAAAAGGAGGGAGGCCCUUAAGUUCGAUAUUUUCUCGCACUAGGAAGAAAGCGAGCUUGGCACAACCUGAUCCAUUGAUCAGUGAUACUCAAAUCCGUCUCAUGAAGUCUGAAUUGUAAUUAUCGUUGGGGGACACCUCAAUGUCAAAUCUAAUCCAUACAGAGAUCUCUACAAGUAUUACACUAGUGUACAUGAGGACGUGGGAUAAUGAGUCUACUAUCGAACCACCUUUCGUUGAUGGAUAUCAACUUAGUUGAUUGGCCUAAUGGAAAGAUGCGAUCCAGCAUUAACAAAGAGAUAGGUCCUUAGGCAGGUGAUGCCGACACCGCAAGCUAAACCCUAUCAACUAUGCCUUUGUUAGAUAGCGUAGUGAGAACAAGAGCUUAGACUCACCUUAUGGCGCAAGGUCUCUCACUAACACGCACUGGGAUCGACUACGAUGAGAUAUGCUCUCCUAAUGGAUGUCAUUGAACUCCACUACUUUGUCAGUUUGGUAGUUUCUGAAUAACUGAACAUGCAGCCUAUGAAUGUGGUCAUAAUAACAUCUCUAUGGGAUCAAAGAUAUACAUAAAGGUCUUAAACGGACUUCAUUCAUCCGAAUCAAGUGGCUCCAAACCACAGUAGCAUGUGUUUGCUAAAUGUAUUGAAACGCACAUGGACUCUAGUUGAUUUGGAAGGGAUAUGGUGAAUUAUGCCUUUGCGUGUUCAUUUCGGAUUUACAUGGACUCUUGAUGGCUCAAGAGAUGCCAAUAUGUAUCAACAUCCGAAGAAAAAGAUCUUGGGAAGACACGGUCUCGAUAAGGCACUCGAUGACUGUAUUGAUGAUAAUUUUUCAUCAAUCGGCUUAGGCGCUCUAACGAAAGUGAGGCCUACAUAUACUCCCAUGAUUAGUCAAGGUCUUUGCUCUAAAGAGAGAUUCGUUGUUUUGUCUAAAGCAAGAUGAUAAAUAAUAUGUGUUAAGAGAUGGAGUUCCCAUCUAAGUACAAUAAGAUGCAUCAAUGUACUCAACACAAUACAAAAGACUUGACAUCUCAUUCGCUACGAAAAGUUGUAAAGCUAAGUGUAGCUAUGCGCCCAUGCAAUGUCAAUGUAAUGGCAGUAACUCCUUUUUCAAUACUUAAUGGUAUGAAAGGUUGAGGCUUAUUCUAUCCCUACAUAAGAAAGACACAUCAAUAGUGAAAUCAGAAUCUGCCAAGUUUCGUAGGUCAAGCUCCACGGGACCUACAGGAAACCUCACUCACUGGAAAAUGGUGAAACUGGUACCAUUGGAAAGAUCUAUGUGUCUACUUUCCAGGGACACCAACCAUUUGAUCAUACCUAUCAUAUUGAGUGAGUUAUGGUCAUUUUCGCAAAGUAGGAUGAAUCUGUCCGAGAAUCUGAUUUUGGUAAAACAGUCAACUUCGACGGGACUUUGUGAAUAGCUCCUAACGAACUAGAAUGUGUGUAAUAUACGGUUGGAAAGCUAAAUGAGUCUAGUUUCCAAAACCAUUUAUGGUUCAUUCAUAUGUAUUUCCUAGAGGAAGUUAUGACUGUUCUAGUAACUGAAGGUCAUGCUGCGCGGAAAUCUGAUUUCCUGCACGAACUUAUGUUUUGAGUUCACAAGUGGUCUUCUGCUCAAUAUCUAAGUUAAAAGAUCAUUUGAGGACAAUACGGCAUGAUUUAGUUAAUCAUUGCCGAAUGCCACAUUUGAAGACAUGUUAAAGAGCAUUGAUAUGCUAAGUUGUUGAAAUUUCCGUGAUUAGUAAGAAUCAGGAAGAGCCCUAUGAUUGAUGUAAAGAUUAGGGGGAGGUGCGAACUUCAGGGGGAGUCUAGCACAUACAUACAUGUCACUAUCAAAUGUGAAGGGUGCGUUGUACUCUUUUUCUCCUACGAUCAAGGUUCAGUUUUUCUCCCACAGGGUUUUUGUGACUUGACGAGGUUUUUGACGAGGCAACAGAUCAGCACCAUCGGCAUAUCAGCGCGCGGCACUAGGGGGAGUGUUUUAGGAUAUUUUGUAUCUUUCUAGAUAUUCUUUAUGUGUGUCUUGGCCUUAUGCCAAUAGGAUAUGUAGUUAGACUAGAUCUAUGUAUUCAUAUCCUUACCAUAUUGGUAUUGUGUAAUUCCCUAUAUAAAAGGCUCAUAUCAAUUAAUAAGAUAAGAUGAUGAUUCUCUUACUAUCUCUUUGUCUAUACACUUUAUACUUCAUUAGAUGGAAGGGAAUUUUCCCUUUUAUAAACUUAGACUAACUUCACCGACUCCUCACUUUAAAAGAGCCGGAUCCAUAUAUAUAUAUAUAUUAUAAAGUCAUAUUAUUAAGAAACUAUAAGCUUUGUGAUGGAGUUAAAAGGCUAAGGAGGGAGCUAUGCUACAGUAGGUUCUGCUGGAAAUAUAUAUAUUGAUCAUCCUGACAAACUUCUUUAACUUCAUAUACCAUUUCAAUCCAAUCCCCAACCUAGUUAAAUAAUAUUUCAUUAGGUUUCUGAUUCCUAAACUUGGAUUAUGUUUAUAUUCCUAUCAAUUAGCUAGGUUAUAUUACUUUUUAUGUUCUAGUUUGCUUUUAUUUGAUUCUCUAUAAAUACCUCCAAAAUAGAGAAGAAUAAAUUGUACAUCAAGACGUUUAUUACAAUAAAUAGCUCCCUCAUCAAAUUUAACAGGUUGCUAGUUAAAAAGAGCAAGUGAUGGCUCGUACCAAGCCAACUGCUCGCAAGUCAACUGCAGGGAAGGCUCCAAGGAAGAGCCUGGCCACCAAGAUUUCUUAUAAGUCUGCCCCAAGCACCGCUGGAGGUGAGAGGAAGCCACACAGAUUCCGCCCUGGUACUGUUGCUCUUCGAGAAAUCCACAAAUACCAAAAAAGCACUGAUCUCCUGAUCAGGAAGCUGCCAUUCCAGAGGCUGGUUCGCGAAACUGCACAGAACUACAAGUGACCUGCGUUUUAAUAGCCAUGCGAUAUUGGCAUUGCAGGAAGCUGCUGAGGCUUACCUUGUGGGUCUUUUUGAGGAUACCAAUCUCUGCGCUAUCCAUGCAAAGCGAGUUACGAUCAUGCCGAAAGAUAUGGAGCUGGAGGAUCAGGGGUGAGCUGCCUUAAUAGCGCUUUGCUUCCUCUGAAUGCAUAAGAUUGGAAGAUCGUGUUUUGUUUGGUUUUUCUUUUUGAAGUCAAGUGUUUUGGACCUUUUGGUACUAGUUCAUGUGGGAUUUGGUAUUUAGUUUUCAUUUCUGUUUUCUUUCUUGAUUUUUUUUAACGUUCAUUUUGUUUCAUAGUAUUUUGGUAAAAAAACUCUUUGAUUAAUAUAAUGCUAAUGUGAAUUUCUGAAAGGACAAAACCACAGUUCGAUAUCACCAUCCGUUUAUACGAUCUUGUAUAUUCUCCCCUACAAACCUUUUCAGUCAUGAACUACAUGCCAAGUAGACUAUUCACAGUGCCAUGCAUCUCCAUAUAUAUAUGUUUGGUUGGAGAGAAAAUUUGGGGGGACGGAGUAUUUGGAAUAGAAACGUUUAAUAGGAUUUUGGCUAAAUUUGAAGUGCCUGUACUUGUUAUGUUUGUCAGUAGGAUACUUGCUCUAUGGUAUGAAGUUAAAGUCUGCCAGUCUUUGAAAGGAUCAUACACCAGUUGAUGUAUUGAACCAGUUCUCAGAAAUGAUUAGUACUAGCAGAGGCGAGUUCCUUAAACCAUUCUGAGUUUGCAAGACAGGUAACAGUAAUGCAGCUUGUUCAACUGCGUAGGAAGAUGGACGAGGGAAGGAGAUUAUAAUAAGUUUUUCCGUAGUUGUUUAUAACAUGAUCGUUGACACUCCAUAUAAGGAUACACCAGUCAUAAUAAUUGACCAAGAGAUUUAUAGUCAGUCAUCCUUGGAUGUAAAACUAUUGAUCGGGAGAAUUAUUUUUAAGUAGAGUUGUUUUGUUUUCAACCUUUGGAUUUAAAUCUAGUGGUGAUUGACCAUGAAUCUACUGACCAGGUGAACACUACUAAUGGACACACUAGCAGAUUAACCAAGCUAGUUACCUUUUAGGUAGUCCUCAUUCUGAGCUCCCAUCACCUUGAAGUUCUUCAUCCUAACUGUCCCGAAAGAUUCUAUAAUAUUCUACUCAUUUGAAAUUUUUGGAAUUCAAGAACAUUUGAACUUGGCCUGAUUGACUUUUGUUUAAAGUCCUUUUAAGUUGGACCUCUAUACGUGUGUCUGUAUUUCUUCCUCUAUAGUGUUCUUGUUGCAUGUAGAUGUGCCUGCAGAACUUAGUCCUCUGUCUCUUCAGGUCAAGAAACAAACAAAAAAAAAAGUCACACAUGCACGCAUGAACUGAUAAACAUUAAUUUAUAUGGAGGACAUGAAUUAUAUAGGUGUUCAUGGAACAUAUUUUCUAUUCUCUGAUAUGGUUCUGGUUUGCUGUACUGGUAUGAACUUCCACCAUCGUUUUGGAGUAGAACACAUGACAAAAAAAAACACAACCCUCUAGCUACCCAGAGAAAGCCAAAAGAUUACAACCGUCAUAACCUGUUUUGAAACUUAAAAGACAUAACCGACACCAACUUAUUUGCUAGGAUAAUCAAGAGAUCACGGACAAUUUAUUAUUUUGACACCAAACGCCAAAUAUCGGGUUUACUAUUUCCACAAUUAAUAUGUUUUUCUGACUGAAAGUUACUCCAAAUUUCAUCCAUCGAUAAAAUCUGACUUUUCGCACGAGCAACCCCAAAAGUCCAUAAUAACAACUUUUUUAAUGUUCCAGUGGACAUUAACUUCAUUAUUCAUGAAUUACCCAUCUUCCGAUCAUUAUUCUCAAUUCUAGACCGCUUUCAAACUUUUGUCUUUUUCUUGUUAAACUGAGCUUGUUCUUAUCCUACGUUAGUUGAGAUUUUGAAAACCAAAAGAAUUUUUUUUGCUGUUGUAUCUUUCUUCUGGCCCCUCCAACGUUUAGCUUUUAGUUCCGCCACUGUUGUCAUUAUCUCAAAAACAGAACCAUCAGAGUUAAGUUUCAGCAAACCAAUCUGUACAGGUUUGCAAGUGAUCGGCGAUCAGAUGAGGGAGUGGGGUUUUCCUAAAAAUGAUCAGGAUUAAGAGAGAUAUGAGACUUGUAGCAAGAGUUCACAACGUUGGUGAGCUCUUUACUUCAAUUUCUACUUUCAUUCCGGAAAAAAAAAAAAAAACAAACAAACGUUUUGGUUUCUUCUCUUUUACCAAAUGACUAAUGAGUGACGUGGGAGGAAAGGCGCGUGAUGCUGUGAGACUUGAGAGGAUAACGACAGCUGAACAGCUCAGCUUGGCAGUUUCAACAGCUUGAAAAUAAAAGAAAAUGGGUGCUGCUAAAUGUACCCAUCAAAUUACUAAGGAGACCCAGCAAAACAAAUUUUACUGAAAAGAUAAUUGUAUCCUCAUCUGAAAUGACAUUUGUAGUCAUUAUUAUUAAGAUAAUAACAAAGGAAACCUAAAAUUUUAAAAUUCUUUUCGUUAGUAAUUUCUAAAUAUACCCAGCAGUUUAAGUUUAACGUAAACACAUUGUUGGUUCCAACAAAACCUGAAAUGACGUUUCCAAUUUUACUAUAUUGUUGUGCUUCAAGGGUUUAAUAUCUUGAUAUUGAUGAAGUUGGGAGUGCAAUUAUGGUUUCAGAUGCUUCUAAUAAGGUAUGCUCAUUUUUAAUAUGAUUGAAAAUAAAUUAACCCACAUUUGUAUGUAUUCGUUAUGUAUUCAUUCUGUAGUUUGUCCGACCGUUCAGGCAACGAAACAAUGCCUCGUAUUCGGUAACAAAGAGGCUCAUCGGUUAGCGGCGGUAGAAUUUGGGGUCCAGUGGCAAAGCAUGAGGCGAGAGGAAUUGUUUCUGGCGUUGGGGGUUUCGUUUGCUGGGUGUGAAUUUCUUCGUGAGUUUUGCUGGGUUUAACAAAGAAAAGGUAUUAUUGGAAAGUUGCUGGGUCUACUUAGAAAUUUUAUAGUUUUACCAGGUGUAUAAAGUUUGCUAGGUCUACUUAUUAUUUUGCUGGGUAUAUCUAACGGCACCCGAGAAAAUUUGGGACCAACUUCUAGUCAAUACCGUCAAAAUUAAUUAGGCAAAUCUCUGUUCCGCACUAGGUAGCAGCAGAGACCAGAUCAAGAGGGCAUCUCAUUGACUAAUCAUCAUAUGUAGUUAUGUACAACAACAAAUGCAAAACCCAUCCAUUACUCCAAUGACAUUUUUUACCAUAACGCAACCAGACAAAUUUAAUACCCUAACCAUAAUAAUAAUAAGACUAUAUAAAGUCAUAUUUACAAUAACCCACAAAGCUGGAAUUACAGAAGUUUGGUUUCCCAAGCACAACCGGGUAUGUUUCUCUUUUAAAGAAUUCAUGAAGAAAUUCUCCACCUUUUGUUUGUCUAUGUUUCAUCAUCUUAGUUUUCUAUCUCUAUCUUGGACCAGAGAGUUCCAUGGCAUAGGAAUCCAAAGAAUGCUCAUCAUCAUCCUCAUCCAUAGAUGUGCCAAACAUGCGUUCACUCCCAUCAUGUUUUGAUGCAUUCCAAGUACUGUGGGGAGUGCUUUUGUUACUGUUGUGAGUCUGGAAGAGGUCCAUCCUGGAUUUACUAUGAUUAUGUGACGAUGCCCACUUCUCCGCUAGUCCAUCACCUUCCAGCAUCCGGACCACUUCCGACAUCUUGGGGCGGUGAGCUGGUAGGUAUUGAGUGCAUAGCAGAGCCACUUGUAGCAUUUCACCAACCUCUAUCCGAUCGUAAUUGUUCCCCAGUUCUCUAUCCACCAAGAGUUCUACUUUCUUUUCUUGUUGUACUUUCUUCACCUGUAAUCAGCAGGGUGUUACCUUAAUCAUGCAACCAUUAUGCUUCCACCCUAUAAUUUGAUACUCGAGAUAAAACUAUAAUGACAACUAAAUUUCUAACUUAUGGGACACAAAAACAAAAGUGAAGAAGCUAAUUUAAGUCUUGCUAAAUGUGCGGUCCUGCAACCAUGGCCGAGUACAAAUUUUUAUCAAAAUAGAUAUAGAUUUUAGUUUAUAUACUUGGUAACCAAAGGAUGCUAGAUUAUAAAUACAAUCAUUAAAUUUGCUCAGGCCAAAAGGAUUAGAAACAUGCUAUAGUCUUCAACAAAAAUAAAUGAAAUACUAGUAGAAUAGAAACAUAUCUAUAGCUUAUAGUCAUAGAAAUACUUACCCACUCAAGCAUGGCUCCUUUCUGAUUAACUGUUUUGCCAAACUCCAGAGCUCUCAUCCCAGUUAUGAGCUCAAUCAAGAGAAUGCCAAAUCCAAAAACAUCAGUUUUUUCUAGAUGAUUGACCAGUAGAAAGGUACUCUGGUGCAAUGUGCCCAACAGUCCCACGUACAGCAGUGGUCACAUGAGAGUCAGCAUGGUCGAGGAGCUUUGCAAGGCCAAAAUCACCAACAAUUGCCUCACAGUAGUCAUCCAGGAGCACAUUUGCAGCCUUCACGUCCCUGUGUAUGAUCUUUGGAUCGCAUUGCUCAUGUAGAUACAAAAGACCUCUUGCAGCUCCAAUUGCUAUUCUCUUCCUUGUGUUCCAAUCUAGAGCUGGCUUUCCUGUUGUGACCACAACAGUUUGUUAGGCCUUCAAUUUUUGUAGUUCAACUUAUAAAAGGAAAUAAACCAAGAAAGUUAUGUAAUAAAAUAGAUCACAGGCUUUCCAUCUUUGUUCAAAACAAGUUAUUUCUGAUACCAAUUGAUUGAUUUUUUUAAAAAUAUUUAUUUGAAUUCCAAAUUUUAAAUACAAUACUCUAUUAAGAACUGCUCUAGGCCUUCAAUUUUUAUAGUUCAACUUAUAAGAGGAAAUAAACCAAGAAAGUUCUGUAAUAAAAUAGAUCACAGGCUUUCCAUCUUUGUUCAAAACAAGUUAUUUCUGAUACCAAUUGAUUGAUUUUUUUUAAAAAGAUUUAUUUGAAUUCCAAAUUUUAAAUACAAUACUCUAUUAAGAACUGCUCUAAUCACCACUGGUCCCAACCAUAAAGACGCAAAGUUCUUAUUAAAUAUCUCCAAACUCCCCAAACUGAUUGUGGUCCAAGCCAAGAUCACAUCUGGGUAACUACUAUAUUUUAAUAGUUAGUAUAUCACUUCAAUAUCAGUCAACAGGGAACACUGAAUUGCCACCCCUAUUGAAAGAUGCAAUGUGAAUGUAUUUGCAGUAAAUAGACAAACCUCUAAGCCUGAAGGCAACACUGCCAUUGGACAUGUAAGGGUACACCAGAAGCCUCUCAUUAGAAGUAGCACAAUAUCCGAUUAAGCGAAGCAAAUUCCUGUGUACUGCUAGGCUUAUCAUUUCCAAUUCUGUCCUGAAUUGCGACUCUCCAGCUGUUCCUGUAACAUCCUUGAGUCGUUUUACUGCCACCAUAGUCCCAUCUCCCAGCUUUCCCUUGUACACAUUCCCAAAACCUCCAGCACCUAGUAUGUUCUUGGAGCUAAAAUGGUCUGUGGCGACUUGAAGCUCUUUGAAAGUGAAGUUUCUGAGGUUGCCUAAGCUCACAAGUCCCUCUUCUUGAAUGUCUACAGUAAAGAUAAUGACACAUCAAAUAUCGACUAUAUUUUGUCAUUUAGCGUUGAUUUAUGAAAUAGGGUCAUGAUGAUACUGACCACUGAUGUUCAAAAUGGUUUGGCUCUUUUGCUUCUCUCUGUACCAGAUGAUUCCAAGUGAUAGGAGCAUGAGAAAGGCACAGCUGAAGCUCACCCCAAGUGCAAUUGCUACUGUUUUGGACUUGUGUUUUCCUUAGAAGAAUAAAAACCAUAGAAAUUAGACAAAAUGAGAUACACAUAUUGAGCCAAAGCUGAAAACACAAGUGUAAAGGGUUUACCAGGUGAUGGGUUUAGUGAUAAUGAAAGAGGAACAGGGGCUGAUCCAGAGCAUCCUUCUGUGGAGCUGCUUCCACAAAUCAGUGGGUUCCCGACAACACUGAUAAAACAACAAAACAGAGGAAACCAUAAAGAACAAUACAACAAUGACAACACAGAGAAAGAAAGAGCAAGAAAGAGAGAGAGCAUACUUGAAAGUUCUGGCUGGGAAUUUGGGUAUUGGUCCACUAAGAUUGUUGUAAGACAAGUCCCUGUAUGACCCCCAUUUACAAUAAAACCAUUGAUCAGAUUUUGAGUAAAAUGUUUACAACCCAGAAGAUCCUCAACAUGUCGCAACUUGUUUCACUUUUCAAAAGCCCGAGACGCCAAAAAACAAAUUCAAGCAAAAGAAAUUGUGAAAACCCAUAAUACUCACAAGAAAGCAAGAGCAGGAAUUUUGGCUAAAGACACAGGGAAAGCUCCAGACAAGCUAUUGUUGUUCAGCCUCCUGUUCUCAUUACAUGACAAGCAACACAGUAAUUAAAUAACUUCAACCCAAAAAAAAAAAAUCAAAAUUAAUCAAAUCUAGUCAAACUUAAAUUUUGGUAAUUAUCGUAUAGGAGGACACAAUCAAAUUCAAUUGUGUUUCCCCCCUUCUUUCAGAGUCCAGUAAGAAAAUUACAAGGACAAGAGGUUUAAAGACUUACAGAUACUGCAGACUAUUCAACUGACCCAGAGACUCUGGGACAACACCCAAGAAUCGAUUAUUGGAGAGAUCAAGAGUUUGAAGCUUGGGAAGAGUACCCAGCUCCGCUGGGAGUUUACCAGAUAUAUUGUUGUUCUGCAGCAACCUUUAAAUUCAAAAUUGAAGAGUUAGACAUACAAGUCCAGAAACAAAAAUGGUUCUAACGAUUUACACUAGAGCAAAAUAAAACGAGAAUUGAAGCAAGAACACAGAUGGGUAUGUAGAAUUUUUUUUCUUACACUUGGCGAAGAUUUGUGAGAUUUCCUAUAGCUGCAGUUAAAGUUCCAGACAGUGACUGGCUUGGAGCUCCUCUGCAAAAUUGAGAGAGGCUUAUGAAUUGAGGUUCACUUUAGCUAAUUUGAAAUAAGGCAAAAACUGACGCAUGAGUAAGAAGGAAGAAACUACUACUCACAGGCCUACAACAACAUUCUCAGAUGAGCAAGUGAUCAUAGCCCAGCUACAUGGGUCUACAGAGUCUCCAUCCCAAUUGUUUAAAACGCCAUGAGGAUCAUUCAAACUGCCCUUUAAGCUUAUCAAAGCCACCACUGCGCAAUAACCCAAAACAGCAAAAUCAAAAAUCUCUGUGUAACCCAAAAAAGGCCAUGAAAACUAGUUACCAAAAAGAAAAAGGCUAUGAAAACCUAUGCGGGUUUACCUUCAUGGUUGCGAGGUUCGUAGGAGAGACAGAGUGAAGCAGUGGAGAGAAAGAAGAAGAAGAAAAAAGCUAAGUGUUUGAUCAUCAUCAUGUUAUGGAAUAAUGGUUUGGGAUGAAGGAAGAGAGAAUUCAGAUAAAACCCAUCACAGAAGAAUAUGUAAAAGCUAAGAACAACUAAAAGCAAGUGUUGUUCAAUCUCUCUCUCCCUCUCUCUGAAAAUGAGGUAAUGGGCAAAUGGGCCUCUGUCUCUUUCUUUCUCUCUUUUUUCUUGGUAUUCUUUCUGAUUUCAGAGGGUCUCUUUUUCCAGGGUUCUCCCACCACCCAGGCACCCACCACCUCUCUUUCUCUCCCACUUUACAAAUAUUCAGGGAAACAAUAAAGCAAACACAGCAAGUGUGUGUUUGGUUCAAUAUUUUUAUUUUUAUCUAGGAGAAAAAUAGAAAAGAAAAUUACGUCUAGUUUGUCAGGGGGUAAGUUUGUACGAGAGUAGUGGGCAAGGCUGGAGUGGACUGGACUGGACUACUGACUAGGAGUGAAGAGGCUCUGGGACGACCGGUGCUUGCUGCUAAACCUAGUGCUCUAUCUGUAAUAUUUUGCCAGUUGAGGACAAAAGGCACGGAGAGAGUGAAGGGGCCGGAGAGAAUCAAAACACUAAAAAUGGAGGGUGGAUGGGAUUGGUUGCGUCAGAGGCUUGAGCCUGUUGCUGACCUUUGUUUUGUUUCUUUUUUUUUUUCUAGGAAGCUAGGCUGCAGCUCAACCUCUAUGAUGGCCUACUAUUGCUGCCCCUUGGGAUUAGUUUUUCCCAAACUUACUCUUGUAUUUACUAUUUUUACCCCCAAGUGUGUAAUUUGGCCUACUACGUGAUUUUUGGUUUUGUGCAUAUAUUGGUUUGUCUUGUUAAUUUGACAUUACGAAUUGCAGAUAGCGACCUCACUCCAUUGAUAAAUUGAAAGUAAGAGUAUGGCAUAAAACACGAUAUACCAUCCUCAUCGGCACGAAAUGAUUGAACCAUACCAAAAAAAAACUCUGAAAAACUUAGAUCUAAAACCUAAACACCCUAAGCAAUUUUAAUGUCAUAAACUAUCAGCGAGGUCGACACAAACAAAAACCAGACAUGUUAGGUAGACCUAACUUAUUCUUCACCUUUGAAGAAGAGCUUAAGCAGAACUAGACCCAAGACCGGAUCCUCUGCCUCACUUUCUUUUCCCAGCAGAACAACCUCCUCAACAAGACCAUCAGCAGCCUCACCAAGCACCAAAGCCUUCCUUACCCCAAAAGUCCUCUUCUUAGCUCUCUUAGGGCCUAACUGUCCCGACUAAGAAACCCGCUUUGGUAACCUAUCUCUCCUUCUUGUUCAUGGAACCUCGAGGGUAUCCCACUUUCCUCUUCUUUGUCGUAAGUGGAAAGGCACUACUAGAAAAAAAGACAUAUGCGAUGAAGAAAAUUUUAUUUGUCGCUUAGGUUAUAACUUAUGCUACAAAAAAUUGUUCGUCUCUUAAGUAUUUACCUAAGAGACGAAAUAAUAAAUCGUCGCAUAAGUUAUAACCUAAGCGACGAAUAUUUUACUUAAGAGACGAAAAAUGCUUCGCCUCUUAUGUUCUUUCUUAGGCGACGAAAUUAAUUUUUUCGUCGCAAAAGUGGUUAUCCUAAGAGACGAAAAAUUCUUUUGCCGCAUAAGUCGUAUCUUAUGAGACGAAAAUUAAUACUAAUGAGACGAAAAUUUCGUCUCAUAAGUGUUUUUGACUUUAUAUCUGCUUGCUCGCUGCCCAGAUCUAAAAUAGAGAGAAACGUUCUGCAGCUGAAAUCUGGCGACAGAUUUUCAAUGUUAGCAUUGGAAAUCAUCAAUUUGGGACGUCUAAAGCUUUGUCUACCUCUCUACGUACUCAUGAAGUAUUACUAGUACUUAUAGGUUGGUAUAAUCUCAUUCUCUUUUCUUUCACCAUUUAUGUUUCACUGGUUUAUAGCUUUGAUGAUGACCUCUGUUUGUUGAUGAUAUAUGAAUUUUGGGUUACCUAUUACAUUUGAAGUUAUUUCUCCUCCUUGUUUAGGAUAUGUUUCCUCCUAUUGAAAAAAAAAAAAAAUAAGAAGACCGGCCAUGUUUUCUAGUGGUACCACCAGUCAUUUGUUGGUAAUAUAUAUCUAUUGAUGUUAUAUAUAUAUAUAUGAUUAUUUUGGUUAUAUUUGUUACAGACUAGCCAUGUUUUCCAGUGGUACCGCCAGUCAUUUGUUGGCAAUAUCUAUUGAUGUUAUAUAUAUAUAUAUAUAUGGUUAUAUUUGUUAUAUAUAUAUGGUUAUAUUGGUUGGUUAUAUAUAUAUAUAUAUAUGUGUGCUUUUUUAGCAUGAUGAAUGUAAGAAUGGUUAAAUUCUUUCAUUCACGUUUAACCUUAGAAAUCCCGUUCGAGAAUGAUUUUGGUUUGGCAACAGACUACUAUAGAAAGCACCAAGUUCACCAAAACAGACCAGAUCAUGCACCCUAUAGGUAUUUGCUGAUGAUGAACUUUGCCCACUCAUUCUUUAACACAUCCAAAUCAUCUUGGGUGUAGACAAGUUUGUUUCUCCUGUCCUACUGAAAAACAUAAUGUUAAAGUUAGACAUGAACAUGACAUUAUCCCGAAUAUCUGAUUCCCAACACAAACACAAAUAAUAGUUGAUUAUACCUUUGUUUUUCCAGGAAUAUUCAAGCGAGUUUUCACCCCAUCCUUUGUUUUUCCAGGAAUAUUCAACAAAGUUCCUAUAAGGCUGUCAAAAACAUUUUUCUUGAUAUGCAUGACAUCAAGGCAAUGCUGAAUAGGGAGAAACUUCCAAUAUUCCAGAUAGUUUGUUUCUUGAUGAUAAAUUGAUAGUUUGAGUCUUACUUGCCGCUUCCUGAUAGUUUGCUUCUUGAACAAAAUAAAGGUCUCACUUGUAUACACAAGGUAUACAGAAUCAGAUUAUUUGCACAAAAGUAAGAGAUAAGGACAUAAGCUGAUGGACUUUCCUGAGAGCUCUCCAUUCGGAAUCUGCCAGCACCAUAUCCACAACAUUCUAGACCAAAUGAAAGACCAUCAGUGACUAUCUAAUAUAAAGUAAACACAGCUUUUGCAAUCAAGAUUUCAUCUUCCGAAGAGAAAUGCUUACUCUAAAUAUGCUAGAAGACUGCAGAUACCCAAGAGUAGAGCAGAGCUCACAGUAGAAGCAGUUGGAGGAAACCUAUUUACAGAUAAUCAGUAAACCAAACCUUCAAUCAAUUGGGGAAAUGCAUGAUUUUACGAGAUCAUUUUUACUUGACCAGAUAACACAAAAAAGUUCAUAUAGGUUUGUGAGUGAAAGAAGAGUGAAAAGAACCUCUCGAAGUCAUUGAAAAUGACGGUGUCAGGAACGAUCUCACUAAAGAACAAUCUAAUACAGUUUGACAGAUUGUAGUACAAAAACAAGAAAUAAGUCUGUUUUCCUUAAGUGGACUGAAAGUGGUAGAACCAAAUGUUAAAACAUAACUAUAUCCACAUAGAAUACAAAGGAAAGAAUAAAGACAAGCAUUUAAGAACUAGAACACAACUGCAUCCUAAUAACAAAGAAGGCCUGAAGAGAGUAAUCUUUAANNNNNNNNNNNNNNNNNNNNCUAAAAUUAUAACAUAAAGGGACAUGAUAUCUAAUUGAUCAAGCUACAGUUUUCUUUAUAUAUAUUAAUAUUUGUUUACAAAAAAUCUUAACUAAAAUGAUCGGCGGCACAUACCUUGCAGAUGUUGCUAAAAGAUUAGGCUAUCUAGGGGUUAAACUGUUCUGGUGCAGACAUAUGCAUCAGAUAGUACAUUUUUGUUGUCAUUUUGUGGAAGAAAAUGACUUCUUUUUUUUUUUUUUUCCUAGAUAAAUACGUGGACCAGACUAAUACCUGUUAUGGUUCCAUAUAUCUACACCAGCUUCACCAGUGGCAAAACAAUCAAAAUUUCAUUGGUGAUCAAUAGACCUGAAAAGAAUUACACAGACCUCAAUAAUAGAAACAUUUGUAAAUUAUAACAUUAGUUUUACUUGCGAAAUUAACUAAUUAAGAAACAUAUCAUCUGAAAAUUUGAGUUUGUAAACUUACCUAAAUGCAUUUUUCCACACUUAAGUUUCCAGAGGCUGGAAUGAACAUAGUAGUUAGAGAGGUAAAAUUUAAAUGAACAAAAUAACAUAUUAAGUCAUAGGAGAUAUAAAAGUAGUAGGAAGACAAUACCUUAAUAGAGUUAUCAGUAGGGAUAUCUAGCUCCAUAGCAGUGGAAACAGGUACGGCCCAGAGCCUGACACUGUAAAUAAAAAGCACUAGUUAAAUAAGGUCAUCCAAACUGCCUUAUGGGUGGACAUUCUUCAUACAUGCCUAGAAAAUUUAAGCAUAGAGGGAAAACAUGAAUGGAUCCAGACAGUUAUGCUUACCUGCAAUCAGUUCCACAUGAAACAAGUACACGUCCAUCUGUAGAUACUGCUAAACCUCGCACAACACCUUGGUGGUCAGGAAACCGUUGUACUGUGUGCCUAUUUUGUUCAUAAAAUGAUAAAGAAAUAUAAAUUUCAACAAUGUAGGACCAAAAUGACAAUGCAGAACAAUGCAGAUCAAAACUAUAUGUAAAAUUCAACAAGCUUAUGGGUUUAGGGGUUUCUGAUCCAAACCACUGUCAGUUAGUGAACCACUGACAAACUGAACAAAUAUAUAGAGAACCACUCUUUAACACCAUUUUUGUCAUUGCCAUAGAAACUUUAUCUCCACUCCAUUUUAUGUGGGUACAAACCAAAGUCCUUGCCGUGCCUAAUGUCUAAAUACGGUUAUCAUAUUCAAUUACAGGUAAAUAAGCAAUUAUAUUAUACUAUACGUAUAAAAUGACAAUUUCAUAACAUUCCAAGAGACACAAAAAGGGAAAAGAAACAUUUUCGAGUGUAGGAUUACCUGGAAGCUAUAUCCCAAAGCCGAAUAUAUGUCUGCAAAAGGUAAGAAUAUCAAAUAGUUAGUUUGAGAAAUCAAACACACAUUAGAUUUUGCAACACAAAAACGGAAGCGAGGUGCGGAUAAGAGACAAAGCAAAGUGCAGUACCUCCAUCCAUAGAACCGGAGAAUAUCCCAACCAAAUGGUUCAUGUUUUUGGCCAUGCACGAAAUAUCCAAGACAUCUGCCUGAAAAAUCAAAUUGACUUAGCAACCCAAAUACAAUAUCAAACAAGUAGAAAAGAGCAGAGGAGUGAAGAGUGACCAGUGUCGAGAGCGGAAGCGCGAAAGAGAGGAAGUGAUGGGCGGGAGGUGAAGAGCAGAUUGGAUCCAUUAAACAAGCUCAGCUUUCUUCCCUGGAAAUGCAAAGAGGAGGAGAUUGCUGAGGAAGGUGGAGAUUGCAACGACACUGACAUUUUUUCCUCUCUGGUCUCGACAACAAAUCGACACUCGUUCGAGUUGCAAGUUAUUGAUGCGGUGUGUCUUUUAUAUGUAACUCACUGAUCACUCUUGGGCCUAGCCGGCGACGCCGACUUGGUCUCGGCUGCUGCGGCGGUGGAGCGGUGGGAGAAAUUCGGUUAGAAAUUGGAUUUGGGGAUUUAGGGUUUGGAUUUCAAUAUGAAAAAUCUAUGUUUGUAUGUGGAAUUGGUGGGUAGGAGGAGGUAUAGGAGAGAGAGAGAGAGAGAGAGAGAGAGAGAGAGAGAGAGAGAGAGAGAGAGANANNNNNNNNNNNNNNNNNNNNNNNNNNNNNNNNNNNNNNNNNNNNNNNNNNNNNNNNNNNNNNNNNNNNNNNNNNNNNNNNNNNNNNNNNNNNNNNNNNNNNNNNNNNNNNNNNNNNNNNNNNNNNNNNNNNNNNNNNNNNNNNNNNNNNNNNNNNNNNNNNNNNNNNNNNNNNNNNNNNNNNNNNNNNNNNNNNNNNNNNNNNNNNNNNNNNNNNNNNNNNNNNNNNNNNNNNNNNNNNNNNNNNNNNNNNNNNNNNNNNNNNNNNNNNNNNNNNNNNNNNNNNNNNNNNNNNNNNNNNNNNNNNNNNNNNNNNNNNNNNNNNNNNNNNNNNNNNNNNNNNNNNNNNNNNNNNNNNNNNNNNNNNNNNNNNNNNNNNNNNNNNNNNNNNNNNNNNNNNNNNNNNNNNNNNNNNNNNNNNNNNNNNNNNNNNNNNNNNNNNNNNNNNNNNNNNNNNNNNNNNNNNNNNNNNNNNNNNNNNNNNNNNNNNNNNNNNNNNNNNNNNNNNNNNNNNNNNNNNNNNNNNNNNNNNNNNNNNNNNNNNNNNNNNNNNNNNNNNNNNNNNNNNNNNNNNNNNNNNNNNNNNNNNNNNNNNNNNNNNNNNNNNNNNNNNNNNNNNNNNNNNNNNNNNNNNNNNNNNNNNNNNNNNNNNNNNNNNNNNNNNNNNNNNNNNNNNNNNNNNNNNNNNNNNNNNNNNNNNNNNNNNNNNNNNNNNNNNNNNNNNNNNNNNNNNNNNNNNNNNNNNNNNNNNNNNNNNNNNNNNNNNNNNNNNNNNNNNNNNNNNNNNNNNNNNNNNNNNNNNNNNNNNNNNNNNNNNNNNNNNNNNNNNNNNNNNNNNNNNNNNNNNNNNNNNNNNNNNNNNNNNNNNNNNNNNNNNNNNNNNNNNNNNNNNNNNNNNNNNNNNNNNNNNNNUGUGAGGGAAUAUAUAUUCGGAGGGAAACUUUAGAGCCAAAACUAUUUUGGCAUAGCACACCAAAUCAAUGGAGGCAAACUUUGGAGCCAAAAUGACUUUGUCAUGCCACUAGAUUUUCCAGUCACACAACAGAAUGUUUUAAACUGUUGUAUAUAUUUUCUAAACUUGCACUAGGUAUUGCCUAGUAUAAAUUGUAACAACAUCAUACAACAAAGAAUAAAAGUCUAUUGUCCAAACAUUUUGCAUCUUGUGCGACUUUCAAUUUGGUGAUGGGGGGAAUCCUUCCGCUAAAAUUUUCAUAAAUCAUACAACAGAAAAUUAGCAUCAUUGUUGUGUUUUGAACUCUUGAAAUAUAACCUGACAAUUUCGUGUCAUCAGACAACAAAACUUUGUAACUUUGCAUUGUAUAUAACAGUUCACCUCAUCAGACAAGUAGGGAACCCUAAAAGGUUGUUUGAUGAGUGUUGUUUGACAACGUUUUUGUAGUAGUGUAUUCUUCUCAUCGGGUGUAGUUCUCUCAAUUACUAUGGACACCCAAGAUUAUAUUGUCUUCUAAAUUAUUUCAUAUAUCCAAUUCAGAGACUAUUCUUCAAAUCCAAUAAGACCUUUAAGGAUUGACACUGAUCUUUUAUCAUGUAAAAAUUCAACAUACAUCAAUCAAUCAUGAAUAGCCAUUUUGUAAUUCAUUCAACUAUUAUAUAGCUCAAAACAAACAAUUACUACCAAGUUGUUGUCAUACUCCAUGACUAGUAUGUUACCUUUAGUAGACCAAAUCUUAGGUUCUCAAUCACAACUUAAUUCCUCAAAUGACCAUAUCUGAACUAAUACAAGAAGCACCAAGUGCUCAGCGUCAUACUUGCCUAUUCAAGAUUUCAAGUUGACACCAAACACACCCUUGUUCCCAAUAAUCAAUCUAAAACAUGAUAUAGCCUUAUUGUAAUUCUCAUUGUCUUACUGUGUAGUGUUUGACACUGAAGGCAAACCGUUGAGAGUAAUCCACAAUUAUACCAUAUCAAUUACAUCCCUUCAAUUCAAACAGAUCUUGUUUCUCUUAUCAUUAUCUCCAAAAUGGAAUAUCAAUUACACCAAAAACUAGUUGCUCCGGCCUUAUAAUUAUAAUGCAUCGUAUUACCACUUGAUCAUAUACCAAUUGAUCAAUGCAUGCUUACAGUAGCCUAAUAAUAUUUAACCAGAGUACACUCAUGACACAUACUCAAACCCAAACAAUAAUUAUCUGAAGUGAUCUGCCUCUUACCUUGUGUGUUCCUUAUUUGAAACAUCUUCUUGCUGCGUAGUUGGACCUAAGCAAUCCACAUUCUUUACUUUGUUUUCAUCAAACAGAUAUACGAAUCAUCACUAACCAAACUUUGGAGUACUGAACUCAUCAAUUUUGGUGAAAGAAUCUUACCUUUUUAAGUUAUCAAAUCACCGAUUGGGGAUUAGUCUUCCAUCCUUGCAUUGUAAUUAUACUGGGCAUCUUCUCUUCCCUAAUUUCACUUCCUUCACUGCUUUCAUAAUUCAAUAUAUCUCCAAGCUCUUUUUUAUCCUUCCCUUGGAACCCAAAUACAACUCCGGUUUCCAUAGUCCCUGAUAACCAAGUUAUGAAACAAUAAUCAGGACUCACUUCAUAUCAAAACCGAAAUCCUAAAUCAAUGGGUUCUUGGCACUUUACCUCAAUGAAGAAGUGACUUUGUUACAUGUCAGGAACUACAACUCGAAUUGAUGCACAUAGUGAAUAGCUAGCCAAACAACCACUCCAUAUCCAUCGUAGCCUUGAGCUAAAGAUUAACAUCAACCCCGAACUAAUUAGCAGCCUUGUCCUCUUGACGAUGAUCACAGAGACGCCACCAUCAGAGAGUCGAAGAGAUAAUGAGAGAAAGAGGGAGAAUUCCAGAGAAGGAAGAGACCCACAACAGAAGCUUCUCGUUCAGCUCGAGAUAAAACUCUUAUCUUUAUCUUCUAACUUAGGAAGUUACAGUUGCCCUCAAGUUAACACCUCUAUCAGAUUUCUGACCCAUAAUGAAUUGGGUUGUUCCACACCCUUUUUCUAGGGCUGGGCACUUAGUAUCGGAAUCUCGAUCCCGUACCGGUCCUGUCCCAAAAGUUAGCGGGACGGGACGGGACGGGACGGGACAGGUUUUGAAAAUGGCAAUCCCGUCCCGUCCCGUCCCGUCCUGUUAUAGUAAUGUUGAAACGGGACGGGACGGGAUUGGGACUAUCUCGAAAAAUCCCGGCCCGUCCCGUAAUAUUAGAAUACCUGAUUUUAAUAAUUUUAUAUUUGAUUUUUUAGGUUGCAUGAUAUUACAAUGCACUCAACCACACUGAAUUCGGUCUAAAACCUAAACACACUUCAAUAGUUCGAUGAGUUCGGUCUCACUCUCUCAAACACAACACCACCACUCUCUCUAGGCUCCAGCCUCUCAACCAAAUUCAAUCCCCAAAUGCUAAACCAAAAACCUAAAACCUAGUUUGUCUCUCCCAAAUUCGAUCCCAAAUUUGAUCCUUAAUUCGAUUCCCAGCUUGUUAAUGGCUAGAGGGAAGAAAACACCGAUUCGUCCCCGACGAAGUACUUCUGUUCUGCAAGCUUCUUCUGAAGCAAUUUCUUCUCAACCGGAUCGUCCUUCAUCAGCAGCAAGUGGAUCAACUCGACCUGCACUUCUCCUACCAGCUGGAAGUCAACCCACUCCUGCAAAUCAACCUGAUUCGACCUGACCUGCUGCCAGCCAACCUGAUGCGACCCAACCUGCUGCAAGCCAACCUGAUGCGACCUAACCUGCUGCAAACCAACCUCUAAGUGAAGCAGUUGCAUCUACAGGGGAGAUUGAUUCUGAAACAUCAAGUAUAAUUCUAAUCUCUGUAUAAUUCUAAGCUUUGUAGAAUUGUAUAUACUAAUCUUUGUUGACAGUGAUGUAUAUAUUAAUGAUCAUGUUGAUAUUUACCAAAAAGACUGUUGAUAUUUGCAUAAUGAUCUUAUGUUAUUCUUGAGUCAACAUUUGAUAUUUACCAGAAAAACUGUUGAAAUUUGUAAUUGGUAGCAAUUGUUACGGGUGUAGAUGCUUUGUUUAUGAAGAGCUGAGUAUAUUGAUAGGAUGCAAAUGAUAGUGAUGAGUCUGAGGUGGAGGAAAUUGAGUUGGACGAUUCUGAGUGAUCAAGUUAUGUAGUUUCAGUGUAGUUAGUUGCUAAGAAUUCUGGGAGUGGCAGUUAAACCUGAUAUGGGGAAAUUUCAGCUCAUUUCCUCUGUAUCCUAAGAAGACUUGAUUCUCAGUCAUCCAAGUCAUGAGGGACAAAAAAAAAAGUAGUAACUAUUAUUGGAGGUCGGGUGCAAAAAAAAAAAAGAGUUAUGAGGGCAAACAUCUAGUUAUUCUGGGUAUUGCUGAGAUAUAUUUUAGCUUUGUCAUCCACAAGUAGUAACUAUUACUAGAGGUCGGGUGCAACUACUACUCUAGUAGUACCCUGAUUUCAACAUGUAAAUUGAUUCCUGGAUGAACUAAAAAGAUAUGAAACCAGUACACAUUUCAAGUUGGCUGUUUUGUUCUACAACUUGAACCAAGAUUAAACAUCUUAUUGUCAACUAUCAAUCUUGAUUUGUGUUAAAUAUUUGCUAUUUUCACAUGGUUGUUUGCUUUGAUGCUUUGGGUGGGUUUGUUUGACUAAGAAAGUGGUUGUGAUUUGGAUGGGCUUUCUUGUUGCCUUGAUUGUAGGUGAAGCAGUUGUUUAAUAGCAAUAUCUAUUAGUAAUAGCAGUUGUCUAAUUUCAGUAUUUAAUUACAGGCAAGACAUGAGUAGCCACCUACAAUCCUAAGAGAUCUUGCAUCUAGUCAACUUAUCACUUUUCUAGUGUAAUAUUGUCAAAAAGGUAAAAGAAAUGAAAAAGGAUUUGGCUUGCUUAGGGAAAGGGUUAACAUCCUUUGGAAUUGAUAUGGGCUUGCUUGAGGAGUUUCCUAACAUUCACUUUUGAGGAAUUGAGUAGUUAUAUAAUACAUCGUGAUUCAUAAAAUGCUUUGCUUUCACAUUUUGUGUCUAGAAAACCUGAGGGCAGUGAACUAUUUCAUAUCAUAUUGAUGUAUAUUUGUUUUGAUAUAUAUAUAUAUAUAUUGGUGUUUAUAUUUGUUGGACUUUCAUGUGUUAUUCUUGAGUCCACAUUAGAUAUAAGUUACAACUCUAACACAGGGGAGAUUGAUUCUUAAACAUCAGGUGUAAAACGAAGCUUUGUUUGGGACCAUUUUAUAGAGUAUGAAAAGAUUGAAAUUGCGAAAGAUGUCGAUGGAAAAGAUUAUCAAAUAGUUCAUAAGAGGGCUUAUUGCAAAUAUUGUCCUAGGGGAAAGAUUGGGGAUUAUGCUUGUGAAAGUCAAAAUGGCACGUCUGGUAUGAUUAGGCACAUCAAUCAGAAUUGUAGAUAUUUUCCAUCAACUGUCGAUAAGUCACAGAAAAACUUACAAGGUGAUAAGACUAGGGCUAAUUCACUGAGCUUGGUAGCUGUUGACCAAGAUGAUUAUUUAGAAGCUUGUGUAGAGAUGGUUGUAAUUGAUGAGCUGCCAUUUAGUUUCGUGGAGAAGAAAGGUUUUAAGGGAUUUUGUGGUAGAGUCUGUCCUCUAUUUGAUAUUCCCUCUAGAAAAAAAUUAUGUAGAGCCUUUCUAGAUAUGCAUGGCACCCAGAAAAAGGAGUUGAAAAACACUUUGAAGAAGUUGAGGGUGAAUUUAACCAUAGACACUUGGACAAGUGUGCAAAAUAUCAACUACAUGGUGCUUACUGCCCAUUUCAUUGAUAUUAAUUGGAAGAUGCACAAGAGGGUAAUAAAUUUUGCUGUGAUUCAGAAUCAUCAAGGAGCAACAAUAGGAAGGCUUAUUGAGUCAUGUUUAGCAGAUUGGGGAAUUGAGAAAGUGAUGUGUAUUAUCGUCGAUAAUGCAUCUGCAAACAAGUCUGCAAUGGAAUGGCUUGUUGCUAAAAUGAAUAGGUCUGCAGGUUACCAGUUGAUUUUGGGUGGCAAGUACAUGCAUAUGAGAUGCACAGCUCACAUCACUAACUUAAUUGUGGGGCAUGGUCUAAAGAGGUUGCAGAAGUCUGUGUCAGCUAUUAGGAAUGCAGUCAAGUUUGUGAGAUCUUCUCCAAACAGAUUGGAAUACUUCAAGAAGACUGUGGAGAGAGAAAAGAUUCCAUGUAAGGGACUUGUGUGUUUGGAUGUCCAAACAAGGUGGAAUAACAUUUAUCUGAUGUUGGAAGCAGCUUUGAGGUUCCAACAAGUAUUUAUGGCAAUGAAAGAUGACUAUGGUGGUAUUUAUGUAAACUACUUUGAUGAACCAGAAGAAGAAAUCGAUGAAGAUGGGAAUAUUGUUGUGCCACCGCCAAGCAACACAAACAAGAGAAACAGGGUUGGACCUCCUGAAGAUGAUGAUUUUGAAAUUGCUAAGGUGUUUGUGGAUAUUUUAGGCGUGUUCUACGAAAUCACAUUGAGGGUUAGUGCAUCUACGCACCCUACUGUGCACACCACUUUCCAAGAUGUUAUUACCAUGAAAAAGAAUAUAAAGAGCAUGUGUGUAUCAGCUGAGUUGGCUACUGGAGCAGAAACACGAAAAAUCUUGAAUGAAAUGGCUGCCAAUAUGAAAAAUAGAUGGUUCAAAUACUAUGGUUCAUUUCAUGAGCUCAAUCACAUAGUGAUCAUUGGCCUGGUAUUAGAUGCAAGGUUCAAGUUAAAGAAUGUGACUUACACCUUUAACCAAGAAGGUUUAGGUGAAGAGGAGGUGGAGAGAAGAACCAGGGAGAUCAAAAACCUUCUAUAUGCUCUCUAUGAUCAGGUAUUAAUUUUAGUUUUUUACUUCAUUUUAAACUUUUAAUCGUUAAGUAGUGCAUUGUUUUCGAUAUGUAUUAAUUUAUGCAUUGUUUUUUAGUAUGUGCUUGUGGUUGAUGGAGGUAGACACCUAUAGAAGGAGCCAUCUCCAAGUUCUUUAAACAACACUGUUAGCAAUAGAAGCACCAAUAGCAGAAGGAGCAAUCUGCUCAGAAACUGGAAGAAUGUGGUUCAAAAAACUGAAGAGGCAGUCGCAAAACAUGAAGUGGAUCAGUAUUUGGAAGCUGCAUUGGAGCUCAUAGAUGAUUUAGAUUGCUUUGACAUCCUGCUAUGGUGGAAGCUUAAUCAAUUCAAGUAUCCAGUUUUGGCAGCAAUAGCUAGGGAUGUUCUUUUAAUUCAAGUGUCCACAAUGGCCUCGGAGUCCGCUUUCUCAACUAGGGGCAGAGUAGUUGACUGUUUAAGGAGUUCAUUAACUCCUAAGACAGUUGAGGGACUUAUUUGCAUGCAAAAUUGGUUGCUUCGUAAUGAUAUUGCAGAGAAUAUAGAUGAUUGCACAAUUGAAAACUAUGAAUUCUACGAAGGUGUUGAGCUAGGUAUAUACAUUUGCAAGUUUUAAUGUUUUCUUUCUUUUACUUUGAUAACUUUGAUCAACUUAACUAAUCUUUUACUUGUGUACAUUUGCAGAGCAUGAGAGCACAGCAACUAGCAAAGCUAAUGUGUGUCCACCUCCACCUUCAAGAGCAAAAGCAAAGGGAAAAGGUAUUGCUGCUGGUCCUAUUGAUGUUUGAUAUAUUAUGGUCUGAGUUUUUCAAGUUCAUUCAAUACUUUUAAUGUGGGAUGUUUAAUUAGUACUUUUACAAUAAGAUGUAAUUUAGCACCUAUGCACCUAUGUUCUUGUUCAUUUCAGUACUUUUAAUUUCAUUCAUGUUUUUUUUUUUGGAUCUUUUUCAGUUAUUGUUUUAGGGUUAAUUUGUCGGGAUCCCGAUCCUGUCCCGAUCCCGUCCCAGUCCCGUUCGAGAUCGGGACGUACGGGACAGAUUUCUAAAAAUGCCUUCUCGUCCCGUCCUGUCCCGUUCUGUUCUUUUAUUUUCGGGACAGGACGGGAUUCAUUAAAUCCUGGCCCAUCCCGUCCCGUGCCCAGCCCUACCUUUUUCGUAGGACUAAUUCGAAAAUAAUAAAUUUCAAAACCAACAAAAUCAAACGUUUGCACACGCACAAUAAUAAUUGUCUACUAAAAUCUCGACACUUAAUAAGAUCACAGUAUACAUAUCAAGCCAUUCUAUUUUACUACUUAAAUAUUUCCGGGGUCUCACAGUUCACUUUGCACCUUGAUGCGUGUAAAAAUUUUAGUUAAAAUUGGAUGAGAACAAAAGUAACGAAUGGACAUAUAGAAAACAAAGAUUGUGGGGGGUUGUAUUUGGAAUAUCACGGGAGGAGUUUUAAUGUAUACCACUCAGCAUACGGUAAGGAAACAACCGAGAGCAUAAUUUCAAAUCCAGAGCCCUCACUAAUUAAGAAGCAACUCUUGCACGGCGAUAAAAAAUGUUUUUUUUUUAUUUUCCCGAGAUAGAGGCACACGAUCAUCAGUAAUCAUUAAAGAAAAAAUCAUAUACAGUAUGUGAAGCAUUUUUUGGAAUACUACAUAGAUUAAAAUUUAACAUAUACGGUACGUUACAUGGCAGCUGAUGUGGUCAAAAAUUUAACUUAUCAGAAUUUCAUAUUAUAUAUGAUUUGCAUUUGCCAUAUCAACUACUACAUAAAAUAAGAUGCAUGUAGUACAUCCCAAAAUGAUUCACUUAUAAUUAGUUACCAACGAAUUAUUUUGAGGAGGAUGCAACCAUGCAUAGAAAAGAAAAUGAAUUAGUGGCCACGGGUAACAUGAAACAAAAAAAGAAUAUAGUGUGCCAAAAUUACUCGAAUGAAAUUGUUACCAAGUAAGUAAUGGCAAAGGCACGUUGAUUGGGACACAUUGCGUCCGGUGCCCCACUCACAUAUAUUACGUUCUAGUAUGCAAAAGACUUUUUUGCCCUCAUAUGUUGCCGUCAAGGAGGGUUAGCAACAUAAAUGCAAAGAGACCUUCUUUUUCCAGACGUCACCUCAUCCAGUUUGUAACAGAGAGAGUGAAGAGCAGAGAAUCUGGGUUACAAGCAGAAGAUAUAUUUCGAAUUGGGGUGUUUAGAGAUCUGGGUAGGAUUUGUAGAUUAUAAAUCUGUUAGUGUUGCUUUCUGGAAGAAGGAGCAGAUAGAAGAGGAAGAAGGAGAUGGGUACCGGAAGCUAUCACGGAAAUCAUCAGUCCCGGUGGCAGUCCAUUAAUGAGGUAAAUUAAUUCGAUCUCUUGGUGAUUGAUUGUGCAGGUGUCACGUCCUAAUUUUCGAAGGAUAAAUUUUCAAAAAUUUAGACAUGAUAGAUUUUAAAAUCUUCUAUCCCAAAACCUGCUCAACAACUAUCAAACUAAAAACAAAUACUGAAAAUGUAAAUGUCAACAAACUCAACAACUGAAGUAAACAUUAUAUCUCUUUAAUUACAUUAAUUUCAAAAGUCUAGUAAUAAUAACGUCGCUCACAAGAGCUUAAAAACAAAUUAACAAAAUAUACAAAAAUUGCACAUUGUCUAAAACCCAGCUCCUAAGCCACCGCCUCAACCCUGCUGAUUAUCACCUGCAGGUCUAACCUCUACACCAAAAAUUGGUGCACCGGGUUGUAAACAACAAACCCGGUAAGCUAAAAAGCCCGUAUGAGUAACUCUCAAAAUAACUCAACCCAACAACACACAAAAUAAAACCGGAAAUUCCUGCUUACAACUUAGUUCAAGAAUUGCCUCAAACAAUAAAAUUCAAAAGAGAGUAAAUAAGAAAACAUAACAAUUCACAAAACAAUCAAUCAUAAGUGAAUGCUGCAAAAAGAUAGUUCAAGAAAUCCACUAAAAAUCACACAAAUAAGAUUAAAGAGUCUCAUGCAUUAAGCAUAGUUCAGGAGAUACUCAAAGCAAGGAAGAUUAAUUGACAACAAUUAAGAACAAGUUAAAAUCACAGAACCAACACUUUACAAAAAUACAUAUACCCAUGAGUCCCAGAUACCAAUAAGAUAUCUCUCAUGACCUACAACAAACACAUGUACCCAUGAGUCCCAGAUAUUAAUAAAUACCUCUCAUGACCUACAACAACAAUUUAUGUACCCAUGGGUCCUAGAUAUCUUCAGGUACCUCCCAUAACCUACACCGACAGACGGACUAGAACUCUACUCCUAACCGUAACCAAUCACCCGGCCAAAGGCUUGAAACCUAGUUUGACUGUCCAAUAUCAAUUCAAAAAUAAUAAUAGCAUCAUAACCGUAACCAAUCAUCCGAUUAAAGACUUGGAACCCGGUUUGAUUAUUUAAACAAACAAAUCACAAUAGAGUAGAAUCAUCAUAACCGUAACCAAUCACCCGAUUAAAGGCUUGGAACCCGGUUUGACUAUCUAAACCAAAAAUCACAAUAUAAUAAAAUCAACAUCAACAACCCAAUAGUACAUCAUAAAAUUAUAUCCUUCCACAUACAUAUAUUUAUAUGCACAAGACAUAGUUAUUCCCACAAAAAUAACCUAACAAAAACCAAAAAUAUUAUAAUUUCUUAAACCUUAAAAAUAAUCAUUUAAUCCUUUCAAAAAAAAGUAAUCAUUUAAUAGGAAAACUUGUUUUAUCUUACCUAUGAGUCGUUGGCGAUCAAGCUCAUAUAUUUUAAAACAACCAAAACUAAAAUUUUUAAAUUAAAAACAUCAAAAUCAUCAACAAAAAUCAUCAUCGUAAUUCAUCAUCAUUUUAGCAUCAUCACCAUCAUCAUAAAUAUCAUUAUCAAUAACACAAUAAUUAUCAUAAUCAUUUUAUCAUCAUCACCAUCAUCAUCAUAAUAAUCAUUAUCAUAAAUGCAAUAAUUAUCAUAAUCAUCAUCACAAUUCCCUAAAUAAUUGGUUCCAAGUGAACCUUGGUGAGAUGUUACUCACCUAAAUAUUUCCGCUGCGUCUUCACAAAAAACACAACCAAAAGAGCCAAGCUAAUCACACCUAAAAUUACACAAUUAAUAACCUUAGUAACCAAGUACUAUAGGAUAUCAAACACUCUUAAACUAAACCUUUGUCCAACCUUAGUCCAAGGAAUGACAACCUUCUAAGGUCAUCCAAUUUAACAGCCCAAAACUAAAAUCCGAAGGUUUGCCCAAGGAGGGCAACUCUUCUUCAAGACCUCCCAAGGUCCUCGAUCACCCAAAACUACACCUCCUACAACUGCCAAAAACGGCUCCUACAUUCCAAAUCAUAAACUCAACAACCUCACACAAGCCUAAGCUUAAACUUAAAGUCCUAACAUGCAAUCCUUCCUCACAACCUAAAAUUUCCACAACUCAACAAACUCACAAUAAUAAGAGCUAGCUAACACCGAAACCUAGAGCUAGGAACUGCCAGACGGGCUGCCACUCGCCACCCCAAAACUUCAGAAUUUGGGCAAACUCAAAACAUCAAACUUGUAGAUUGAAGCGUGGUGAGCAACUUUAAUACCUAGAUGUUUAACCAGUCGGCCGGAAAAAGCCUCGAAACACCAACCCAAAUUCAAAAACCAAACCUGCAAAUCGACACCCAAACUUCAUUUUCAGGUCACCAAAGAGGUCUAAACAUCUCUAGCAGAGAGAGGAGAGCAGGACUCACCUAAAACUAGCCGGAAUCGUCGUCGAAAUCACCGGCUUUUCGGUGGAACAGCAGCAGCUCUGCCGCUUCGUGGCGGCUUCCAGGCGGCGCGACGGCGGGCGGGACUACUCCAGAAAUGGAGAGGGGAUCCGUGCGGACCGAAUGGGACUGACGGCGUCCAAUUUGGUUGUCGGAUGGAGGAGAACCGAGCUGGAGAAGAGAGGGUGCGCGGGAGCUCAGGAGAGAGGAGAGAGAGAGAGUGUGGUUUCUGAUUUUAAGGUUUCUGACACGACCCACCCCGAAUUUCACCCUGAAACCCGGAGUAAGUCGUGCGGGGACCACCUCCAAGGAAAAUUUACUGAAAAGAUUGAGAAAAUCUCCCUUGAAAAUGGACAACCCUAACUCGAAAAUUCCAAAUUACACUCUUAAUACAACACAUCCAAACAUCACAUAGUUAUCCUUCAGAAAUUCUAAACAUAAUAUACAAUAAUCCCAAAGUAUUCAGAGCUACUAGACACUAGCGGAAGCAAGAAAACACUAGUAGGUUAAACAAGUAACCUACUGAUGAAAACUGGCGUAAAUCCGGGUGACUAUGCCUCGCCUCCUACUAGAUCCAACCGGAACUUUGCAGACUGGGCAAUUUAAAACGAAGGGCCCAGGGAAAACAUUUAAUAACGUUAGAGUGAGUGGACAAAAAUAAAAUAAUAAAUAAAAUAUUUAUGUUUCCCCAAAUUAAUUUCUAAGGAAAAAUCGAAUGCAUGCCGCAAGCGAUAAAACUUUUAUCUCAUAAAAUAUUGAGUCUCUCAGACUCUAUAAUAUAUGUAUAUAUUUACACUUGUCCAUACUCCCUAUAUAAAUUCAUGAGUCUAUAUAGGGCUACUACGCUCGCGCCCAACUCUCACGUCACGCCUUAAUGCGGUGGUACACUACGCCAUUAAGGUGGACAGACGGGUGUAUAAAUAUGUGUACAUACCCCCUAUGUGAAUUAAACACUCAUAUAGGGCUACUACGCUCACGUCCAACGCUCACGUCACACCAUAAUGCGGCUAUAUGCUACGCCAUUAAAGUGGACAGACACAUAUGGCUAGCUAGCAUUUUAUAUACAUACUCUCUCAUAAAUACAUAUUUAUAUCCACCGAAAAUCCCAUUUUCGGUAACUCUCCAAGAGAAAUAAAAUUCGUCAAAUUAAAAUGACGUCAAAAUAUUCCGCAACAAUUAUUGUUCAACCAUGAACUCUAGCAUGCAUUUUAUUUAAAACAAAAGUCCACUCACUAAUUAGGCCUAAGCCUGAUGUCGAUCUGGGGCCUUGUUUGCUCGAGCCUCCUCACGUCCUGUUCCAAAUAUAAUAUUAAUUUCCCAAUUAACAAUCUAAUAUUUAAUCAAAAUAGACAAAAUUACCCGAGAGUCAUAAAUACGCUCAUCAUUGCCUAACUUCGAUAUUCUUAAAUCGGAACGAUCCGAACUUAAAUAUCAUCAUCGACAGUCGUAAAUACAACCUCCCCAAAAAAUAUGACUUAAAUCUUACGGCCGGAUUCUACAUUAAUUAACCGCCAAAAAUACCAAACUUCGAAAAUUCACAAACCUAUCCAAAUCGCAUCCAAAAAUUCCAUAAAUCACAUCAAUAAAAUCCCCUUAAUAUUCCACAUUUAAAACCCUAAAAAUCUCCCAAACCGGCGGUGGCGGCGGCUCCGCCAGCAGCGGCGGCCGGAAGCCGAUUCCCGCGACCUCCAAAACCUAUGAAAUUUUGACAGCAUCUUCCUCUCAUCAUGCUCUACAACUUCCCUAACUAGCACAAACCCAAAAUCCAAGCCUACCUAUGCCAAUCGAAUAGAAACAUCAAAAACGCCAUAAAACUUCCACCUCAAAUUUCUCCUUACCUAGCUCAAGAGGGAGUGAGUCCUUUUAGGGCAAGGCUGCUGGGUUGGAGGGCUACAAAACCGUACCAAGCUUGCCCGGAUUGGUGGCCGGAGGAGGGAGUUCCGGCGAAAAGCUUCCCGGCGUCUCCGGCGAGUUUUCUCUUCUUCCGGCGGGCUAACGGCUCGGGGGCUAGGCCGGGGAGGGAGAGGAGGAGAUGGGGGUCUGAACUGAGGUGGAGAGGUGGCUGGUGGCUGGCCGGACAGCGACAGCUGGCAGCUGGAAGUUUCCAGUGAAAGGGGAGAGAGCACGGGAAGGAGAAGGAAGAGAAAAGAGAAAGAAAAAAAAGAGAAGAAGAAAUAGGCUUGGGCCUCCUACCCGGUUCAAGUCCUAUAUAUAACCCAAUUCCAAAAAUAAAACACCCCGAAAAAAUAAUACCCGAAUAAAAAAUUACCUUUUACUGGCUAAAAUUUACCAUUUUUACCGUCGUCAUAUUUUCCUCCUACGAACAAUCCUCCGCACAUAAUCGUCCCCGAAACCCCUCUAGGGACCAAUUAAACUAUUAACUCAAUGACGAAGACGGAAAAAUUCUUAUUAUAACCAAGCUAGUAAAUAAGGUAAAAUAUAAGGGUCGGGAUGUGACAAUUCUCCCCUCCUUGAAAAAAUUUCGUCCUCGAAAUUAACAUACCUGUUAUUCGAAGAGAUAGGGAUACUGCUACAUCAUUUGCCCCUCUGAUUCCCAAGUAGCUUCUUCUACUUGAUGACUUCUCCAAAGCACCUUGACAAGUGGGAUUGUCUUAUUCCUAAGCACUUGCUCCUUUCGGUCGAGAAUCUGAACCGGUUCCUCUUCAUAGGUCAAAUCUCUCGCCAAACUGAUCGGCUGCUCUUGCAACAUAUGAGAAGGAUCGACAAUAUACUUGCGAAGCAUGGAUACAUGAAACACAUUAUGUAUCCGGGAUAACUCUGGAGGCAAGGCUAAUCGAUAAGCAAGUGAGCCCACUCGCUCUAAUAUCUCAUAAGGGCCAAUAUACCUCGGACUAAGCUUCCCACGCUUACCGAAACGUAGUACCCCUUUCCAAGGAGAUAGUUUCAAGAACACCCAAUCACCCACUUGAAACUCAAGGUCUCUCCUAUGGACAUCUGCAUAACUCUUCUGCCUACUUUGAGAGGUCUUCAGUCUAUCUCUAACAACUUUAAUCUUCUCAUUCGUAACAUGGAUUAACUUUGGGCCACAAAGCUCUUUUUCCCCUACUUCAUUCCAACACAAAGGCGUGCGACACUGCCUCCCAUAAAGAGUCUCAAAGGGAGCCAUACCAAUGCUAGAAUGAUAGCUAUUAUUAUAGGCAAAUUCCAUCAAAGAUAGGUUUUUAUCCCAACUCCCUCUGAACUGCAAGGCACAAGGCCUCAACAUAUCCUCCAAAGUCUGAAUAGUCCUCUUGGACUGCUCAUCAGUCUGAGGAUAAAAAACAGUGCUGAAGAGUAAUUGGGUACCUAAAGCUGCAUGAAGAGCUCCCCAGAAUUUAGAAGCAAAUCGAGGAUCCCGAUCUGACACUAUUGAUUCAGGAACACCAUGAAGCCUCACAAUUUCAUUCACAUAGAGCUCCGCCAAUUUAUCCAAUUUAUACUUCUUUCCCACUGGCAAGAAAUGUGCAGACUUGGUGAGUCUAUCCACAAUCACCCAAAUAUCAUCAUGCCCAUCACGGGUACGAGGUAAACUAAAAACAAAAUCCAUGGUGAUGUAGUCCCACUUCCACACUGGAAUAGGCAAUGGCUCAAGCAAUCCAGAAGGCUUCUACUUCCUGACAAACCAGACAUCUACUCACAUAAGCUGCAAUUUCCCUCUUCAUGUUUGGCCACCAAUAAUAAUCCUUCAAAAUCCGAUACAUUUUUGUGCUACCCGGAUGAGCAGCAUAUGCGGAGCUAUGAGCUUCCUCCAUAAUCUUACUCUUCAACUCUUCAUUUCUUUUUGGAUGACAUAGCCGAUUCUUAAACAAUAGAGUCCCAUCUCUUCUAACUGAAAAAUGAUCGGCUGCGGCUCCAUUCGAAGCUCUUUCCAUCAAUCGAACUAUGGAAGGAUCAUUAUACUGUGCUUCCUGCACUCUAUCAACCAAAACUGGCCUCACAUGAAAACUGGCUAUUAAAGCACCAACCUCAUCUACUGAUAAAUCCACUCUUGUAGCUCGCAACUCACAAAGAAGCAGAACACGAACCAUAUUUAUAUGAGAUAAAGAUAUGGAGGGAUUUCGACUAAGAGCAUCAACUACCACAUUAGCUUUUUCAGGAUGAUACUCAAUAGUGCAAUCGUAAUCAUUGAUUAACUUCAUCCACCUUCUCUGUCUCAUAUUUAGCUCUCUUUGAGUGAAUACAUACCGAAGACUCUUGUGAUCGGUAAAAAUCUGACACUUGGCUCCAUAAAGAUAGUGUCUCCACAACUUGAGAGCAAAAACUACCGCUGCAAGCUCCAGAUCAUGGGUAUGAUAAUUCCCCUCAUGCGGCUUCAAUUGCCUAGAAGCGUAGGCAAUAACUCGAUCAUGCUGCAUCAAAACUCCACCUAGACCACGUCUAGAAGCAUCACAAUAGACCACAUACUCUCCACUAUCAUCCGGAAGUGCCAAAACAGGAGCACUUGUUAAGCAAUUCUUCAAUUCUUGGAAACUUUGCUCACAUUGAUCUGACCAUUCAAACUUAAACCCCUUCCUGGUCAAUCUUGUCAGAGGAGCAGCAAUGUUUGAAAAAUCUUUCAUAAAGCGUCGAUAAUAACCUGCUAAUCCCAAGAAACUACGAAUCUCCGCCACAGUGGUGGGUCUUCUCCAAUUCGACACUGCUUCCACCUUUUGGGGAUCCACACUAACUCCUUCUGCAGAAAUCACAUGACCCAAAAACUCCACUUUAUCUAGCCAAAACUCACACUUGCUAAACUUAGCAAAUAACUGCGACUUUUCCAAAGUCCGCAAUAUUAUUCUUAGAUGCUUGGCAUGCUCCUUCUCACUUCUUGAGUAAACCAAUAUAUCAUCUAUGAAUACGAUCACGAAACGAUCAAGGUAUGGACUAAACACCCUAUUCAUGAGAUCCAUGAACGCCGCGGGUGCAUUAGUAAGUCCAAAAGGCAUCACCACAAACUCAUAAUGACCAUAUCGUGACCGAAAAGCAGUCUUGGCUAUGUCCCCCUCUCGGAUCCGCAACUGAUGAUAACCCGAUCUCAAAUCAAUCUUAGAGAAAACAGAGGCACCCCUNAACUGAUCAAAUAAUCAUCGAUCCGAGGCAACGGAUAUUUANNNNNNNNNNNNNNNNNNNNAAAACAAUCUACUAUAGCUCUAUAUGCUUCCAAAAAGUCCAUUCCUAAGAUCACAUCAAACUCCACUAUAUCUAAAGGAAUUAAAUCAAUCUCGAAAUUAACUCCUUCCACUAAAACUUCACAACCACCAAAUACCCAAUUUAUUCUCAUCACUUCACCGGAGGGUAGAGACACAUGCCACUCGCCUGGAAGAGACGAUGACGACACAUUGGCAUGGAGGGCAAAUCUACUAGACAUGAAUGAAUGCAUGGCUCCGGGAUCAAUUAAAGUAAAAGCAGGCUGACCAAAAAUUAAUAACGUACCAAUGAUGACAUCUGGAGAAGUACGACCCUCCUGCUGGGUCAUAGCAUGCAGUCUAGCGCGAGUCAUGGGACGUCCACGCUGACCACUUCCCCGCUGAGAGCCAUCUCUGACCGAAGCACUGCCCUGGGCACCACUACUAGAGCCUCUAACUGAAGACUGACCAACUGGCUGAGUAGGGGUGGGGGUCGUCCUCUGAGCCAAUAAUGGACAAUCUCUCCUGAAGUGGUCUUGACUACCACACUCAAAGCACCCAGAAAACUGCUGCUGCCCAUAAGAAAAAGUCUGGCUACCGGAUGACCCACCAUGGAAGCUACCACCAGAAUCAUACUGCCCAGACUGCUGCCUACCCAACUGACUCCUAGCAGGUCUCUUGUGACGUCCUCUAACCCUGAACCGAGAAUUAGAACCUGAUCCCCCACUACUGCCACUACCAGCUGAAGAACCAGAAGCGGAUAAUGAAGCAGCUUUCUUGGAUGGACCCUGACUAGGGCCACCGAAAUCUCGUGGCCGAGCACUAUAAAUCCCCAUAGACUCAAUGGUCAUGGCUGCAUGAACAACAUCAGGACAAGUCGGGUAAUAAACACCCGUCAUCUUAUUUGCAAACACUCCACCAAGUGCCCCAAUGAACAUCUUCAUCCUGGUCCUCUCAUUAGGAACCAAAUAUGACACAUGGUAGCUCAGGGAAGUGAAUCUCUCUUCGAACUCUAUAACACCCUCAUCAUCCCUCUUCUUCAUAUUCAGGAAAUCCGACUGAAUUCUGCUGCGGUGGGCAGGACUGAAAUACUACCCCAAGAAAAGUGUCUUAAACUGCUCCCACGACAUAUUCAGAGCAUCCACAACAUUCCUGCUAGCGAGCGACCACCAGUGAUGUGCUGAAUCAUCUAGGAAAGUCACUGCCAUCUUCACCUUCCUUUCUUCUGGCAAAUCUGUGCUCGCAAAAGCCUUUUCCAUUUUGUCUGCCCAAGUAUAAGCAUCAAGAUGUCCCUUGGCACCCUUGAACUCUCUUGCUCCAGCCUUAUAAACUUCUCUCCUCUUCACUGUAUAAGGGUGUGGAGCUCGAUCUAUAACAUCCCUCAGCAUAUUUCCAAUAUCAUCAACCAGUCCCCUGACCUCAUUGCCCUCAUCGGCAUUGGUCGAAGUAGCCAUACGGGGUUGCCGUGGGCGCCUAGGAGGCAUAGUACCUGAGGAAGAAGAAAUUUAGUAGUCCAUAAACAAGACUAACACAACAAUCACAUAUACCCAAUAACACAUAGCAUCAAAAGCAUAAAAUGCCAAUGAAUCCGCCGCGGUCGGAUCAUCACUCUAUAGACACUACGUGCUACUUAAGCAAAUAUGAUAGUGACAAGGAAGCAGGAAAAGGAAACCUAUAGCUCUGAUACCAACUGACACGACCCACCCCGAAUUUCACCCUGAAACCUGGAGUAAGUCGUGCGGGGACCACCUCCAAGGAAAAUUUACUAAAAAGAUUGAGAAAAUCUCCCUUGAAAAUGGACAACCCUAACUCGAAAAUUCCAAAUUACACUCUUAAUACAACACGUCCAAACAUCACAUAAUUAUCCUUCAGAAAUUCUAAACAUAAUAUACAAUAAUCCCAAAGUAUUCAGAGCUACUAGACACUAGCGGAAGCAAGAAAACACUAGUAGGUUAAACAGGUAACCUACUGAUGAAAACUAGCCUCGCCUCCUACUAGAUCCAACCCGAACUCUACAGACUGGGCAAUUUAAAACGAAGGGCCCAGGGAAAACAUUUAAUAACGUUAAAGUGAGUGGACAAAAAUAAAAUAAUAAAUAAAAUAUUUAUGUUUACCCAAAUUAAUUUCUAAGGAAAAAUCGAAUGCAUGCCGCAAGCGAUAAAACUUUUAUCUCAUAAAAUAUCGAGUCUCUCAGACUCUAUAAUAUAUGUAUGUAUUUACACUCGUCCAUACUCCCUAUAUAAAUUCAUGGGUUUAUAUAGGGCUAUUACGCUCGCGUCCAACGCUCAUGUCACGCCUUAAUGCGGUGCUACACUACGCCAUUAAGGUGGACAAACGGGUGUAUAAAUGUGUCCAUACCCCCUAUGUGAAUUAAACACUCAUGUAAGGCUACUACGCUCACGUCCAACGCUCACGUCACACCAUAAUGCGGCUAUAUGCUACGCCAUUAUGGUGGACAGACACAUAUGGCUAGCUAGCAUUUUAUAUACAUACUCUCUCCUAAAUACAUAUUUAUAUCCACCGAAAAUCUCAUUUUCGGUAACUCUCCAAGAGAAAUAAAAUUCGUUAAAUUAAAAUGACGUUAAAAUAUUCCGCAACAAUUAUUGUUCAACCAUGAACUCUAGCAUGCAUUUUAUUUAAAACAAAAGUCCACUCACUAAUUAGGCCUAAGCCUGAUGUCGAUCUGGGGCCUCGUUUGCUCGAGCCUCCUCACGUCCUGUUCCAAAUAUAAUAUUAAUUUCCCAAUUAACAAUCCAAUAUUUAAUCAAAAUAGGCAAAAUUACCCGAGAGCCAUAAAUACGCUCAUCAUUGCCUAACUUCGAUAUUCUUAAAUCGGAACGAUCCGAACUUAAAUAUCAUCCUCGACAGUCGUAAAUACAACUUCCCCAAAAAAUACGACUUAAAUCUUACGGCCGGAUUCUACAUUAAUUAACCGCCAAAAAUACCCAACUUCGGAAAUUCACAAACCUAUCCAAAUCUCAUCCAAAAAUUCCAUAAAUCACAUCAAUAUAAUCCCCUUAAUAUUCCACAUUUAAAACCCUAAAAAUCUCCCAAACCGCUGGCGGCGGCCGGAGGCCGAUUCCGGCGACCUCCAAAACCUAUGAAAUUUUGACAGCAUCUUCCUCUCAUCAUGCUCUACAACUUCCCUAACUAGCACAAACCCAAAAUCCAAGCCUAGCUAUGCCAAUCGAACAGAAACAUCAAAAACGCCAUAAACUUCCACCUCAAAUUUCUCCUUACCUAGCUCAAGAGGGAGUGAGUCCUUUUAGGGCAAGGCUGCUGGGUUGGAGGGCUACAAAACUGUACCAAGCUUGCCCGGAUUGGUGGCCGGAGGAGAGAAUUCCGGCGAAAAGCUUCUCGGCGUCUCCGGCGAGUUUUCUCUUCUUCCGACGGGCUAACGGCUCGGGGGCUAGGCCGGGGAGGGAGAGGAGGAGAUGGGGGUCUGAACUGAGGUGGAGAGGUGGCUGGUGGCUGGCCGGACGGUGGCAGCUGGCAGCUGGAAGUUUCCGGCGAAAGGGGAGAGAGCACGGGAAGGAGAAGGAAGAGAAAAGAGAAAGAAAAAAAGAGAAGAAGAAAUAGGCUUGGGCCUCCUACCCGGUCCAAGUCCUAUAUACAAUCCAAUUCCAAAAAUAAAACACCCCGAAAAAAUAAUACCCGAAUAAAAAAAUACAUUUUACUAGCUAAAAUUUACCAUUUUUACCGUCGUCAUAUUUUUCUCCUACGAACAAUCCUCCGCACAUAAUCGUCCCCGAAACCCCUCUAGGGACCAAUUAAACUAUUAACUCAAUGACGAAGACGGUAAAAUUCUUAUUAUAACCAAGCUAGUAAAUAAGGUAAAAUAUAAGGGUCGGGAUGUGAAAGUUUCCAAAAUAACCCACACACAUUUUUCUACUUAUACACUUUUCAAACCCGGAAACUAACUUCCUCUGACCAUAACUUCCUCAUACGAAGUCCGUUUUACGCGUGUCACGUGUCUACGAACUCGUAUCGCUAUGCUCUACAACUUCCGUGAAGGAAGUUUCAUAAGAAACCCAAUGAAUAAAAAGUCAAGUAAAAAGUAAACCGAAAAAAAUAAAUAGAAACUAGUAUCUAAAAUUCCGGGAUAUUACAGCGGGGUCUUCAAAUCUCUUAUCUCUAUGGUAU
RNAcentral lists this long non-coding RNA (51073 nucleotides) under Fragaria vesca (wild strawberry). Its description in RNAcentral is "long non-coding RNA (FVES_LNC001801)". The record is from RNAcentral. Lineage: Eukaryota; Viridiplantae; Streptophyta; Magnoliopsida; Rosales; Rosaceae.